CGCGGGGCCCCCACGCACCUGGGCUGCCAGCGACAAGCUCCCCCCUCCCGGGCCGGUCGCUUCGCAGGAGCUGCCGCUCUCGGUUUUCUCGGGGAGGGAGAGGCGGUUUCACCCUCUCACCGCACCGCGCACCCCCUGGUUUUCACAAACGUUCUGUUACCCUGUUGCUGCAGCCAACGCGGAUCCGAACGCCGGGGCUACAAAGGCUCGCUGCUUUCUCAUGCUGGAUCCCUCAAAUCCAAGAGCUACUUGGCAGUUUCCAAGGCAACCACCUGUGGAAUAAUUAAAAAGGAUGAAGCGUUACUGGGCACCAGAUAUAAGGAAUUCUUGCCUGGAGAGAGCGCUUCAUUUUCAUCUGUCUUGAAGAAUCAAAUGUGUUUCUGCCAGCAAAGUUAAGAAGGAACGGUGACUGAGUUGUACAAGCAAACCAGGAUAAUCCAAAAAGUAAGUCAAAGACAAAUGCUAAUUUUCCUUUUCUCAGAGACCCAUAGGGCAAGUGUUCUAUAGGACAUCCAUGUAAUUAGGAAGGCAAUUAGUUUUCUUUCAUUUUUUUGGCUGUGAGUGUAGCAAAUGCGGUUUGUAGAGCUGUUCGAGUUACUUGGUCAUUUCUCUCCCUUUCUUACCACUGUACCAAGGCAUAAAGUGGUUCAAGGUUGUGUGGUGUAAUUGUAUUAUUCCCAUUGUUGUAGCAGUGAUGGUCCAAGGUGUGGAGAGGAGAGAUUUGCAGGGAAAGGCUUGACCUCUUAUUAAAGUGUUUCUGCUAAACUUUGAGUUCUCAAGCCAACCUACAGGAAUGCAAGAAAAGCUGGAAAGGGGUUUUGGACUCUAAAGCUUGUUAGUAUUCUCCAUAAUACCAGCGUAAGAAAGUUCUUAACCUUAAGGCUGCUGUGUCUUUGGCUGAGUAUUUUGGAUAUAUUAAAACCAUUUACUUGAGAGUACUGUAUGUGUUUAUGGUUUAGCACAGGAGUUUUUUGCAGGUUGGCCAAGAAAGCAGGAUGUUUUUCAGUGGUAUGUUAGGCUCCAGGCCUUACAGCUCGUCUUUCUGAUUCACUUGUAGCAGGCAAUAGCAAAUUUUGUAGGUAGCUGCAUUUAACUGUCUUGAACAGAGCAUGUACUGUGUGUUACCAUCUACAUUGCAACCGUAAUAACAAAACCUAAGAUUAUUCUGAAUUUGCUUUCACAAUGGCUAACGAGUGGACUCAUUAAAAGAUUGCGGGAGGUUUUCUAUGUAUUGUUGACUCAACUUUAAAAUAUCUAUAAGCCUGCAAAAUAUGUCUCAGCUUACUUACUAGGGGAUGAGUUUGUUUUAAUGCAUAGGUUUUGAAAUUAUUGAUGACUCCAGUUUGUCAAACAGCAUUAGUGGGGGGCUUUCUGUAUGAUUUUUCUAUUACUAAUAUGAAUGUCAUUUUAAUUUAUACCCAUGUCUCUUCUUUUUUGUCUGAAAAGUUAUUCUACAGACUUGCUUUUUAUAGACACUUUCUAUUUAAAAAAAAAAAGCGGUAGAACAUGUGUCAGGCAUAUGCAAUUCCUUCAGCAUCAUGUUUUCCACACUGAUUUAAUAGCUAUUGAGUCUCCUCAAAUAUUCUUGUUUCCAAGACCUGUUUUAGGGUAAUAAAUCUUCUUGGCUGUAAAAUUCUUGAAAUGAUUCAGUAGGAUGAUUGUUUCCUUAGCACAUUCCAUGGGAGAGAAUAGCUAGAAAUGGAAAAGUCCUUAACCAGGUCAUCUUUUUCCCUGCAAUACAUGUAGUCAGUGUUGGAAGUGAUAACGAAAUUGCCAAUGUUUGUUCUGGCGAAUUGUCCGGUUCGCCCUAUUAUCCCAAUUUCCCUCUUGGUAAUUUACAGUAAGUUUUUUGUUAGUGUUGUGCUAAACUACGUUGAGAAAUGCAUAGAUGGGUGAAGAAGAAAAGCUGUGGCAUUGUGUGAUACGACUCUUAAUUUGAACAAAAAGGCCUUGAAUUUCAUACGAAUGAUGCCGUCCUUGAGGCAGACUGUAGUUUAAUAAAUUGUCAGGUAUGCAAAGAUGAUUAAGUUGCGAUUCCUGGUCUGUCGGUGUCUGGAGGGUGGACACACAUAACCCCUGUGGCUUUCUGAAAUAGCUGUUAAGAUUGGACAUGGCUUUUUGGGAGCGGGUAAGAAAGGAAUUCUGCCAAGAGCCCACAAGGAGUUCUGCAUAUUGUCUUUCCAGGGUAAUCCAUUAGGUAUUUAUUCUGGAACGUUAUGUGUGCGAAAAAAAGGGAGACGUGUAUUUGCCAAAACUCUGCACAGCUGGAGCUCCAGGUAAAAACACCAGGUUAUACCGAGAGACACAGAAUCCCUUGGUCUUUUUUUACUAGUUAGACAUCAAAAUUUGGAAUUGUCCUUUAGGUUGGUCUAUUGUGAGGGAGGUGCCAAGUUCUGGGGUUGGUUCCUCCAUGAGCAUUUCUUAAAGUGCUCAGGCUUUGGGAUCUGAGAUCCUGAUCCUCUCUGAAUACCUCAGGAUAACAGGGCUCUGCAUUUCCCCCAGGGUUUAUAGCAGAUUUGUGUGUUAAAUCUGCUUUUACCUUUGUUUUGGAAAAGGGAUCCUUGUAUUAGUACUGGCCUCACCUGCCAGGCAGAGACAUCGAUUUAAACUAUGCGUUUUAAUCAGGUGCUUUUACUACAAGGCAUAAACCUUUGUUUUUAAUGUUUUACUUCAAAAUGAUCCAAAAUAGCUUUUGUUAUAUUACUGGAUACUACUGGUCAUGAUAGAGAAUAACCUCUGUGCUUUAAAGGUGGGCUCUAAGAUUACAUUGCGUCAGCAUGCUCAUUCUAGAUAACGUCUUACAGAAGAAACAGUAAUACUUCGGACCAGUUUAUGUGUGUGCACACAGAUGUUUUUGGGGUUGAUCUUUGCUGCCAUAGUCCUGUUCGAAUUGUUGGUUGGUUGUGUGAAGAUGUAGGGUGGUCUAAUAAAUGGACCAGGUGAUGAGAAGCUUUUAAUUUGCAGUUGAAGUUCUGCUGGCUCAUGCACCUUCCACAAAGUCGCGUUGUCAGCUGUGUUUGUCACUUGUACCUGUGAAGUGAGGGCACCAGAACUACUACAGAGUUCAGAUACAAUGAUUAUAUAUUAAUGUUUUGACUCUUCAGCGAGAAAGCCCAAUAUCUGACCCUCAGGCUUGCACACAUGUGAGCAAACAGGUGUCAUGGAGCACAUCACCAUUCAGUCUGGUAGCUUGGAGAGGCAAAUGACUGAAAGUUUGAAGAGGGAAGAACACCCAACAACAGUAAAGAAAGUCAUUUUCCUCUCCAGGUAUCUGUUUUCUUCUGGAAAGGUCCCACAGGCCUAAAAGGAGACAAACCACAAAGAGGUCAGUGUUAUUGGAUGUGUGUGAAGUAGCCAUUAAUGCAGGCAGCGGGUAUUCAAAAAGAAACUCUCCGUUUGACGGUGCUGUCUUCUGGAUGACUUAGAAACAUAAAAACACAACUUAUUUUUAAAAGAGCACUUCUAAUUUUUGUCAGAUAUGAAAGCACCUGUAACUUUAAUGCGUGCUUUGCCAAGAGAGGGAGUGUGCUAAGACUAAUUAAUGCAUUUCCAUUUUCUGAGUUGUGUCUGCGGUGCGAUGGCUUCUCAUACACAAUUGCGGCACCACCGUUAACACUGCGAAGUUUUUAUGUGCACUUUGUAGGGACUCUCCUCUUGUGCCACAUGAGUGUGUAGUGGUCUGUGUUGCUCACUGCACGUCAUCGGGCUAAAGGGUUGACCAUCAAUUUGUUCUGGAUUCUCUGUCUGCAGCUGUUUUCUGAGCUGCAGGAAGCCACAGGGAACAGGAAUCUUGUAUCUUCAUUUUUCCCCCUUUCCCAUAGUAAUACAGCUGCUAAAACAACUUUUCUGCAAUGGUAAAAAGCGGUGAUGUAUCAACCUGGAAUAUACAUGUAUUCACAAGAGCAAGCUUAUAUAUUCCCAGGCUAAGAGAUAAAUGGAGUCUGUUCUUGCCUUCCCCACCUGUGCUCUGUGGCAAUCAGUCUGAUAGUCCAAAACUGCAGCUCUCUGAAGACUUCUAAUGCUUGAAAUUGGAAGACACCUAACAGCAAAACUUCCUCAGUUUUUGUUUUUAAUUUCUUGCUUAAAAAGCACUUGUUUUCAGAUCUUUUUAGAUAUCGAAGAUCCGGAGUUUAGCUAGAAAUUCACCUUUCAACUGUUUGCAAGCUGAAAAUGGAAAUUCAGAGAUGUAUCCCAGCUUGCAGUGGUGCUCGCUCGGUCAUGUUGAAUUCUCUCAGGCAAAUCAAUCUGCACACAGACACACACACAGGGUGACAGAGGAACGCAGGGUCUUAAAUCCGCUGUUCCUACCUGGAUAAGCUGCGGUCGUGCUUGUCUCUUGGUGCUGGGAAGGGUGUGCAUCAGGCAGAGGACGGGGUACCGGUCUUUAUAAACCUCUUUCUGUAGAAAUGCUGGGUGAGGAAAAAAAUCUUCAUCCUAUAAAUAUUUGUGUGUUGAUAAUACUUUUGCAUAACAUGAAAGUCUGAGACUGACAAAUCAUUAUUAACCUUUAUUUAGAUUUUAUUUUCCCCUGAGGUUGGUUUUCAUGGCUCAGGGGUGGCAGCCUAUAUCCUUAAGGCUACAUAUGACUCACAGUUGUUUCAUACAUCCUACCAUCAUGUUAUUUUUCACAUUAUGUAUUCACAUUAAUGUAGAACCGUACAGACAUGUUUAUUAACAAAUGGACAUGACUUGCUAAAUAUAUUUAAAAGCCUUGGCCUUUAGCUAGAAAAAAAUCUUUGUUGCUGUGAACUGUUACAUUACACCCAUUUUCACUUGCGGAGAUACCAAGUGUUUGAGAAGCCUUAGUUACUGAGACCACCUGGAUAAAAGCUGGGGAUGGACAGAGGUAAAUCACUGCUCCUAACAUUUUGAGGGAUGGAGGAACUACAACCUGUUUAUUUCUAGCUGAGAAAUCACUUGUCCAGCUGUGGCCCCUCAGUUCCAGCAGGACAGGGAACUGCUGGAGAGAGUCCAGCGCAGGGCAACAAAGAUGCUGAAGGGAGUGGAGCAUCUCCCGUGUGAGGAAAGGCUGAGGGAGCUGGGGCUCUGGAGCUGGAGAACAGGAGACUGAGGGGUGACCUUAUUAAUGUUUACAGGUAUAGAAAGGGUGAGUGUCAGGAGGAUGGAGCCAGGCUCUUCUCAAUGACAGCCAGUGGUAGGACAAGGGGUAAUGGGUUCAAACCGGAACACAGAAGGUUCCACUUAAAUUUGAGAAGAAACUUCUUCUCAGUAAAGAUAACAGACACUGGCCCAGGCUGCCCAGGGAGGUUGUGGAGUCUCCUUCUCUGCAGACAUUCCAACCCGCCUGGACACCUUCCUGUGUAACCUCAUCUGGGUGUUCCUGCUCCAUGGGGGGAUUGCACUGGAUGAGCUUUCCAGGUCCCUUCCAACCCCUGACAUUCUGGGAUUUUGUGGUUGUUGAGCUUACAGUUUUAUAUGUCAUAUUCAUAUCACACAGUUUUGAGUCUUGCAUGAAGAUAGUGAGGCAAAAAUACAACUUUAUAGAAGAAAAAGAUAAGGUGUGGGGUUGUUUGUUUUUUUUUUUUUUUUUUUCUGUAAAAUAUCAAAUCCAGGACUAGAGCUGUUGUCCUUUUCAGUGGGGUGAUGGCCUCAUGGAUGGUCAAUGUGGAUGGUCCUCUGGGUUUCUUCCACUGGAAUUCCACUGUCUGCAGCGGUUUAUAAUCCUUCUGAAUGGGGAAGCUCUGGAAGAGACUUUGCUUGUCCGAGACAGGUGGUUUCCCCCAUGUGGAACCAGCCUCCUGGUGACAGGACAAGGUGGAACGAAGGGUGCAGAGGGGAAGUUCGUAUCUGUUGUGAUAAGGGGUAUAGUUUUAAACUAAAGGAGGGAGAUUCAGGCUGGACAUGAGGAAGAAAUUGUUGCCCCUGAGGGUGGUGAGAGCCUGGCCCAGGUUGCCCAGAGAGGUGGUAGAUGAACCAUCCCUGGAGACAUCCCAGGCCAGGCUGGACAGGGCUCUGAGCAACCUGAGCUGGUGAAGAUGUCCCUGAUCAUGGCAGGGGGGGAAACUGGGGGAGUUUUGAAGGUCCCUUCCAACCCAAAUAACUCUGUGCUAUCACAAAUAGUAAUGAAGAUUCCCAGUCUGUUCAAUGAGUUUGUAUGUGUAGCAGUGCAUUCAGCGUAACCCCAGAUGGCUUUGCAGAUAAAUUACUUAUCAUUGCUUUGUGUACCAACAGCUGUCCAAUUUAAAGCUUGCUCUAAGAAAUUCUGGAUAUUGUUACUCCAACUUUGGUGAUGGGGGAGAUGAGCUUUAGGAAGAGCACUUGAUGUAAAUGUUCCGUGACAGCUACACAGCAGAGCAGGGACCAGAACCCAGGGAAGUUUUCAAAAGCUGUGGCCAACAAAGGCACCUAAGAUUUCUUUUAUUUUGUUUUUUCUUUUUUUAAUUAGAAGGGUAAUAGGACACAGACAUGGAGCCUGUAGACCCGUAUUCUUUUUGUACUUCUCCUUCAUUCUGUGAGCUUGGACAGGUUGUUUUGCGUUUUCCUGCUUCAGUUCUCCUGUCAGAGAUAUGUAUGUUUUACUUGGUAUUAGUAAAGUACUUUAAAAUAAAAUCUUGAACUAGUGUUAUUGUGGAUUUCUAUAAGCUUACUUGAAAUCCCUUUCCUCCUCACUCAUGCCCUCCCAAGCACAAGAAUAAGUAGGUUUUAUUUAUUUUGUUUUGUUUUCAAAUGGUAUUGAUUGACUGGUAUUCGGCAACUACUUAGGGCAGGGUUUAACUGAUGCUUUCUGUUGUCCAGACAUCCACUGAAGAGCUUCAAAUUGAGUGUGCUGUUGGGUACAUUGUGUCUCUGAUUCUGUUAGGGACAUGGUAAGGCAGGAAUUAUUUCCUUGUUCAGUUUACUGAGCAGGCUGGAGUUUCAAAACCUUUGAGUGUAACAGACCUUUACAUUAAUAUUGGCUGAUCUUAUACAUCGAUCAACCAGAGCUUGGAGCAUCAUGGGAGGAUGGCUGAUCUAUAGCCUGAUGAUGGUAAAAACCCGGUUUGUACAACCAGAAAGCUCAGUGUCAGGCUGUUAAUGUUCUCUGCAUCACCAUCAGGUCCUGAACACUUCAUCACCUUCUGGCCCUCAGACGUGAAGGGCUGAUGUACUGGUACCAAUCUGCUGUGACCCAGCAGCAACAGAACCUCUGGGCAGAGAGAAGUUCUUGUGCUGAGAUGCUGCUAUGAAAAUGAUGAGGCAUCUGGAGCAUCUUUCUGAUGAUGAGAGGCUGAGAGAGCUGGGGCUGUUCAGCUGGAGAAGAGAAGCUGAGAGGGGAUCUCAUCAGUGUUUAUAAUGUUUAUAAAUAUCUCCAGGGUGGGUGUCAGAGGAUGGACCAGACUCUGUUCAGUGGUGCCCAACGACAGGAUGAGGGGCAACGGGCACAGACUGAAGCACAGGAGGGUCCAUCUGAAUAUGAGGAGAAACUUCUUUCCUUUGAGGUGCCAAAGCCUGGCCCAGGCUGCCCAGAGAGGUUGUGGAGUCUCCUCUGGAGACAUUCAAACCCACCUGGACACCUUCCUGUGUGAUCUGCUCUGCUGACCCUGCUUUAGCAGGUGGGUUGGACUGGAUGAUCUCCAGAGGUCCCUUCCAACCCCAGCCAUCCUGUUAUUCUGUUGGGAAUGCAAGAAGUUAAUUCAAGCCGACAUUAACCUAUGUGGAUGCAGUGGUUAACAAGGAAAAUGUAUUGAUUUUGCACAGCCAAGUGUUGUAGAAAUAGUUGAGUUAAAUCACCGUGCUUAGAAGAAAAAGCUUUCCAGUGAAACAGCCUUGCUUAGAAGCAGCCUGACACACUGAUGUGCAGCUUUGCAUUCCCCGUCAGCAUUACCAGCGUCCUGGCAAGAAUCCCACGUGCGGAGCUGAGGAAGUGGAUCGUAUAAAAGCAGAGUUCUGUGGGCUUUUUGUUCUGCAUUGAUCCGUCAGCCUUGUGCAACUGUACUGGGGCAGAGCAUCUGCAUCCCACGUCUGGAGACACAGAGCGAGUGUGCUCCUGAAGGAUGGCGACUGAGCAUCGCUGUGAUUCCGUUCAGGGCUGCCGAGUGCCUGGCAGUAUGUGCACAAGCUAGCUGUAAUUUAUUUUAAUUAAAUACAAUAGCUGCGUACGUACUGCAGAAGGGAUAAGACAGGGAUUCCCCACCUAUAAUUUGUCAUCUUGCCGUUUGGAUUUCUUUGCUGUCGUCUUCCCUCUUCACAGGUUUGUGCGGAGAUGCCUCAUCCUUCCCCUGUCUUUUAAAAUACAACACGUUUUCUUAAACUUUUUCUGUUGUCAAGAAGCCAUUCAUGCUGUUUGGUAGCGGAGGCAUCCCUGUCCUUCCUCACACACACACCUAUGCAGGUUUUAUUUGAAUAACAGAGCUGCAGGAAGCAGAAUUCCCAUCCCGUGGGAGCCUUCUCGUAUCUGAUUUGUAUUUUCUGGAUUAGGGAGCUUGCAGUACCCACCCCAGGGCUGGCAGGCGGCCGGGCAGGAAGCUGGACAGACUGGCUCGCCGGCCAAUCUUGUUGCCUUUUAUAGAGCGUUUUCAUGAAAUCAGCACAUUUCCACGCAAUCAGUGUUUUGCAUUGUAAAAAUUGUUGAGUUUGGGAGUUUUUGGAGCGGCUCUGGUUUAGUCUGCAACUUGUGACUUCUGGAAAAUUGUUGGCUAAUUUUAGUAAUUAAUACAGAGGAUUUUGUGAUGAGAGAGGUGGUGUUUCUAUGGUAGAAAAUCCUCUUGGAAGGACGUUCUUCAGUGGAUGUGAAGGAUUGCCUGGUGUGCAUCCUUGUUCAUGUGGGUGAGUUACCUGCCAGGGACCUCAUGUUCGCCAUCCACAACUCUCACAUCACAGCAACUGUUUCUUAUUAAAUUGCUGCCAAAUCUUUUCUGAUUUCUUAGAAUGGCUUACCUGGGUGAAAUCCAAACCAUGUAGGACCUGAAUCUCCCAAACUUUUGGGUAGAGCAAAGACACUUCAGUGGUGAAUUACAACAGGGGAGAAGCGACAGGAGCCUUUAGGUCUGGAGGACAGUGAGUAACUAUGUUCAGAGUACACAGCUGUGCCUGGUGCUCAGUCAGGAUAACGCCGUGCUGCUCUUUACAGAUGUUUUGCAACUAGAACAUGACACCCUAGUACACGUUUUUUGAAGCAGGCUGCAUUGUCUCAUUAAAUCACACUAGUGCUAAAACAGGCUUGACUCUUUAGGCAGUCCAGUUUAACCUCCUGCUCAAAGCAAGACGGACUUGGAAGUUAUGACAAGCUGCUAAGGGUCCUUCCUACUUGAAAAUCUCCAGGAACAGAGUCGAUGGCCAUGGAAGUGCUAGAAAGAAGCCAAACUUGCUUUCUCAAGAUAAGACAUUGCUGCUGAAAGAUGUUGAUGUUUUGUGGGCUUCUUUAGCAUCUGAUGGAAAACCCCUCAAAUCCAACAGGCGCAACAGAACCAGGUGUCAAGCGCUUUAGAGAGGUCAGGCUGAUCUUGAGUGUAUUUUCUCUCUUAGUCCUCUACAAUAAAUUAAUCUCCCUCCUUGCAAGAUUCUUUGCAUCAUGAAGCAUCUUGAGGUUGUGAGUUUACAAUCAGUCCCCAAUUAGCAGUUCAGUGAAAAUGAUUUCAAGUGAAAUCAUAGCUUUGCUUAUUUAAGUAGUUGCUGCUUUCAGGGGAAACAUGAAUGUAGCUUCAUUUCUCAGAAGCCUGUAGUGGCCUUUGAGUGUGUCCUUAGAACAGAUCUGAUGUUUACACAGGCAUUACAAAUCGUCUGUAUCAUUUUGAAUGAGCCGGUCUUAAAUGGAAUUCCAUCCACUAGGGAGGUAUAUAUUUGAAAAUGGAAAACACGGUGUUUUUCUUGGCUGUUGUAUUUGCACAGUCACUGUGUGGAAGCUGCGUGUGUAAAUCCCACCGGAGGGGAAUGUAGAUGAUGACCAAGAGUACCAAUAAAAAGAAUAAAGGGAGGAACUUUCCCUUCAUGUCGUUAGUUUGAACAGGUUUGGUGGUUCUUGUGUACACAGUGUAACUUCAUGGGAUCCCAUCCAGAUUCACAAUAGGUAAACAGUUCCUCAGAAAUCAAAGGAGGUAUCAUCUUAUAAAACUUGCAUAGUAGGAAAGUUUGGCCUUUGUAUCCAGAAGCUAAACUGGCUGAGCAAACAUCUCAUAUUGACAUGGUUUCUUAGUCUGCCUACCUUAGACUUUGAGUGUGAAAAUUACCUCUGGCAAAAUGAAACAUAUCUUUAAUUAAAACAUAUUUAGCUUCUCGCUCAAAAGAGCCGUGUGUUCUUAGCAGAAGGUAGCUGGUUUAACUCUGUGCUGAACCUUUUUCUCCCUGUUUUCUGCUCCUAGUGCAUAGGGAACUAGAGCUGUGGCAACAUGGCUGUUGCUUAAUAAAACUACAGUGAGAUUCAGGAGUUUACAGCCAAGGAGUCAACUCUGCAAACUGUUUUUUUCCAUACCAAAGAAGCAUGAGUCAAAUUUUGCUAAGUGAGUCAAAUCUAUCCUCAGAUUCAUUUGAAGACGCUCUGAUGGAUAUAUAAUUUGCAACAGUAUUAUGCAUAGAAAUGGCUUAUUAAAGUGAUUUAGUUUGUAGUGGGAAGGGACAGGGUGGGCAGAAGUGAUGGGGAGCAAGGCAAGUCAACUCGGGUGUGCCUGAGUCCCUAGAAACAGCGCGUAGUCCUGUAGUAUAGUAAGAUUAUCUUUAAUCCACCGCUCCUGCGGGGGUUUGCUGGGGUCUGAGAUGUUGUUAACGUAGGUAUGUUUUCUCUUGGUGAUGCUGCAAAACCCUGGUCUUCAGGCUAACAGUGCUGCUUAAAUGAGGAUGAAGGUGGUUCCUGAACUUACAAGACCUACUCAGCUUAUCCUUUGAGAUGCAUGUUGGGGUUUUAAACAUAAAUCCUGUCGCACAAGAGGAGCAGUAUCUUCUUAACACGUUAUUUUUAAUAGAUCCCUUUGCUUCGCAUUCCUUCCCUUUAUCUUCACCUGGCCGGUGUUCCCGUGCAGAUAACUGUCCUCUGAGCUCACAUGUGCCAGAGCUGCCGCUCUUCACCAGGAUGUGACUCUUGCAUGUUUUGCUGGCUGUGUCAUGCAAAAUCACUCCCUUUCCUCUGGAGGAACCGCAUGGCAAUUAAACUUGGAGGCGAUAUCACUGUCCAAGUCCCAGUUUCUUCUCCUCUUUUCCCAUGUUUAACCCUCCUCCUGAGAAAUCUCUCUUUUGAAUUGUGAAUUUCGACCAGGAAAUGAAUUUGAUAGCUCCAUUCUUAAGCAUCAGUCUUUGCCCGGCUGCAGCCAACAUCCUAAUAUUGUGCUCAGAAUAAUGACUAAUACCUCCUGUCUGGCCUAUGUCUUGAAUGAACUAGUAGACAGGCAUGCGUUGCUUUUUCCUAUUCCUGUAUGUAAUCAACCUAGAAAGAAUGUUUUAGAUUUGCUUUUCUUCUGCAAGUUUUGGUGGAAACCCUGAGGAGAUGUAUGAUGGAAUUCAAAUGUAGCAGCUCAAAGAACAUCUUUGCCGUUACUUAUUUGUGGUACGAAGAUGGGUUGGCAGCAUCAGAUAACGUGAUUCCCUGACUGAUCCACACAAUCUUUGGCUUUUUUUAAAUUCUUCCUAUAACUCAAAACAUUGAGUCGUCUUCAUUCUGAAUGAAGAACAUCAUGGCUUUAGAAAUUUAUUUGGUUUAGAUCAUUCAGAUCUUUAUCUUUUCCAAAGGGUCCCGUUUAAAACAAAACGCCAAAUAUAUUUAAUAAACCACAAGUAUUAGUGUAUUUGUGCAUGUCGAGGGUUUAGAUUGCGGGGUGACAAUAAAACCCUGGCAGAUGUAUUGUUAACCUCCUCUUCAACCCCCCUUCCCCCCUCAGUCCCUCCCUCUCCCCCCUUCCCACUCAGCACAGGCGAUCGGGAGGGAAAGAAGGACAGAGAGAAGAGUUGGAAAAAUUGAAAAUGUUUUACUAAUGCUACUAAUAAGAAUAGAGAAAAUAAUACAAAAUGUAUAUACAAAACCAAUCUUGAAAGUCUCAGCAACUGCAGAGCCGGCACCCGAAGUCCUGGACUGGACUCUGCAGCCAACCGGAGCUGGAUUCAGUCUGUGGCUUGGCCUCAGUUUGCAGGGACGACUAGCAAGGUCCUCUCCUAAUGUCGGCCGUAAGCAGAAGGGAUGAAGAAGGGCAAAGAGGGGAAAAAGGGACGGCAUCCUCGUGAUCUCCCACUUUCAUAUGAAGUAUUCACAUGAAUGGAAUGUUAUACACAGUUGGUCAGUUUCUUGGUCACCUGUUUCUCGUUGCCCCUCUGGCGAGAUGUGAAUCUGUGCUUAUCAGUAACUUCACAUUCCAGUGCUAGGUUUACCAAAACAUGUAUCUGGUUCUCCAGGAAAAUGCAGCUAAUAUGAAGCUUUAGCUAACAGGCAAAUUCACUAAAAGAGAAACUUGUUUUUUAACAAAACCAGGACGGUGCAGAAUGGUUUCUACUCCGUACUCUUUCUAGUCCUUUCCUGUCUAGUUCCUCACUUGAAUUCCAUCUAUGUGAGCAUGCGGCUCCAUUACCCUUCUUCAGCUCGUCUGCCAGUAGCUUUUGAGUUAAUUAGCGAGAAGCUGAGAGCAACAGGUUUCAGAUUUUUCAUGCUACAAUCUCUUUUUGGGAAACUCUGCAUUGCAGUCGGAGACAGUAGCAUUUGCCUGAGGGAACUCGGAAAUCUGCUUCACCGUCUUGCUGACCUGCAAAGCUGUUUCUCCCUCUGAUGUUCAUGUAAAUUUUGAUUUCGGAGGAAUUUAACGAGCUUCACCAUCGGCGGUUGCCUCUUCUUGACAGCUGCUCAAGAACAUCGUUUCAAGUGAGCCUGUGAAUUUUGGCACCUGUAGCUGAGUAAGACAAACCCAAUCCUGAUAGCGGCCAACUCACCAGUAAGUCCACUCUGCUGUAUGAACACAGAAUCGCAAAGAAGGUGUUUUGUGUACAUGAAUUCUAUAUCCUAUUCACUGCACAUGGUUGAGGAUGCCUCAGUUACUCCAACAACAGGUUUAUAAAUCAGCGCUCAGUUCUGUGCAGGAUUUCUCAACCGGAACCACUUCCUGGAUAAUAUGAUAAACAGUUCUCUUUUUUUUCUUGUAAAUUAUUUUUAUCUUGUUUCGAAUCUUUCUCAGUUUUGCUGCCACACACACUGGAGACGGAUCUGACAGUUUUGAAGUACAGGAAAACACCUGAGGAUCUGGUAUUUAAAGGCUGUCAAAAGCACUUUAUGGACCACCAGCCAUAAUUUCAACUGUGUAUAUUAUUGCGCAGCUAUUUACAUUAAUCAUACCCCAUGUUCUCUACAGACUGUGCCUUACUGUUCAGGCAACACAUAGAACUCUGUCAGAGUUGGCUUUUUAACAUUUUAUUACUUUUUCAUUAGAUACCGGUGUCAUAAUGGGAUCUGCGUGUCAUUUUUAAACAUACCAAUGAAGUUCUAUUGAGACACUUGAUACUGUCACAAAAACCCGUGUAUAAAAUUCACCCAGUUGAUUCAUGGUUUGAUGGUCCAGUGCGUGAAAUAGAGAUGGGGUUUCUGACCUAACGCAGUGAGUUGCCAUUCUGGUUCCACUGUCUGCACACAAAAGCAUUUAUCAAAAGGGAGUGGAGUCCUUCAGUAUUUAAAAGAGGGCAUCAUAUUAAAAGUGAGUUUAUACCACAAAGUCUUUUUCUCUACUCUUUUCCAUUUUUAGGUCAGAUGAUUCAGGCUUUCCUUGUUGCUUUUAACCUUUUGCCAUCUGAGCGAGCUGCUCAAGAAAAGUGCCGCCUCUGCCAGGAUAAUUCUGUUUCACUGCCUUCCAUAAUAUUUACUCCUAUUUUCUUAUGCCUUUGUUACUAUCUGUUUUUUCUAAGGUAGCAUCCUAGUAAAUAUUCCUGUCAUGUUUUCCUUUCACACAGAAUCACACAGAAUCGACUGGGUUGGAAAAGACCUCAGAGAUCAUCAAGUCCAACCCUUGGUCCAACUCCAGUCCAUUUACUAGAUCAUGGCACUAAGUGCCAUGUCCAAUCUCAGUUUAAAAACCUCCAGGGCCGGUGAGUCCAGCACCUCCCUGGGCAGCCAUUCCAAUGCCUGACCACUCUCUCUGCAAAGAAUUGCUUUCUAAUCUCCAGCCUCAAUUUCCCCUGGCAGAGUUGAAGCCCAUGGCCCCUUGUCCUAUUGCUGACUGCCUGGGAGAAGAGCCCAAUCCCCACCUGGCUAUAACUGCCCUUCAGGUAGUUCUAGAGAGUGCUGAGCUCAGCUCUAAGCCUCCUCUUCUCCAGACUAAACAAGCCCAGCUCCCUCAGCCUCUCCCCAUAGGUCUUGCAUUCAAGCUUUCACCUCUAACAAUUCCCCUCUUCAUAUAGAAGUCCAUGCGUGAGAGAGAAUAAAAAUGGCCCAUAGUUCGUUUAAUCUCCCAGAUUUUCAUGGAAAUGUAGGCUUAAUUGCUGGCAACAGAGCAAAAACCAGUGUUACCGUUUCUCAUUCUCAUUUUACAAAAAUUUCUGUAGCUUGCUGGAUGUUACAUCCUCCUAUUUUGUUCCCCAAAUAAUAAAGUGAGCAUAUGCUUGCGUUUGCUUCCUUUAUGAAAUGCAGAAUCACACAGAAUCCCAGAGUGUCAGGGGUUGGAAGGGCCCUGGAAAGCUCAUCCAGUGCAAUCCCCCCAUGGAGCAGGAACACCCAGAUGAGGUUACACAGGAAGGUGUCCAGGCGGGUUGGAAUGUCUGCACAGAAGGAGACUCCACAACCUCCCUGGGCAGCCUGGGCCAGGCUCUGUCACCCUCAUUGAGAAGUUUCUUCUUAUAUUUCAGAGGAACCUCCUGUGUUCCAGUUUCAACCCAUUACCUCUUGUUCUGUCAUUGGUUGUCACUGAGAAGAGCCUGGCUCCAUCCUCCUGACACUCACCCUUUGUAUAUCUGUAAACAUGAAUGAGGUCACCCCUCAGUCUCCUCCUGUCCAGCUCCAGAGCCCCAGCUCCCUCAGCCUUUCCUCACACGGGAGAUGCUCCACUCCCUUCAGCAUCUUUGUUGCCCUGCGCUGGACUCUCUCCAGCAGUUCCCUGUCCUGCUGGAACUGAGGGGCCACAACUGGACACAAUAUUCCAGGUGUGGUCUCCCCAGGGCAGAGCAGAGGGGCAGGAGAACCUCUCUGACCUACUGACCACCCCCUUCUAAUCCACCCCAGGUACCAUUGGCUUCCUGGCCACAAGGGCCCAGUGCUGGCUCAUGGUCAUCCUGCUGUCCCCAGGACCCCCAGGUCCCUUUCCCCUACACUGCAGGAGAGAGUUUGUAAUGUACUUGUGGACUGUCUUACCUUUUAAGUUUUUAACAUAGAUUUUGAAACAUUUGUAGGAAUGUGUAAGUAUAAAAGGGUGUGUAGAUAAGCAAUAGGUGGCUGGAUUGUUUGGAGAGCGAUUAGAAGAGAGGUGGCUGAAAUAUACUUAAAAAUACCCCACAAAUACAUUUUUGUGGUUCUUGUCCAGUGCAGAAAUUCUGCAUUGAACAGACCUGAAUCAAUUGCUGUGUUUGAAAAGCAGAGGCUAAAUCUUUAUUUUUAAAAUGACUUUCUAGACAUCAAAUAUUCUAUUUUGAACGGAAUAAAUCUGUGAAAGGUGACAGAGUUCUGAGAGAUCCACGUCGAGGUAAAUGAAAGCUGAAUUUGGCCCUUCUCGUUCUGUGCUUUUGAGUCAUGUGAUAAUCUUUCCAUAAAUCAUGCACUUGAAAGGUUUUCUCGCUUCCUGCUUUUACCAAUCGGAUCAUAUAAAAUGCAGAGGAACCGAGCUGCUGGUUUAUAAGCAGAACAACCCCUCUAAAUCCCCUCUUGUCACGCCAGCCCUGUUCCCCCCGUUUGAAAACAAGAUCGCAAGAAUGACAAACUUUGACUAAUAUCAUGGAGUUUUUCGGUCUCCUCCCUUUCCUAUUCUGACCUGUACUUUGCUUUCGUUAUAAAGCGAACAUAGAAAUUACCCUGUGGGAGUGGUGAAACUGCAGCGGAGAAACAAAAACUGUUUGGAUUCAUCUGAGAGCUAUUCAUUCGCUUGCUCUUCUUUUUAUUAACGGCUCGAAGCAGUUUGUCUUGUUCUGACUACGUAUCGCUCAGCGAGAACAGAGGUGACUCAAAGCGGGUGCUCGCAGGCGCCUGCGUCCUGAGCUGGUGGCCACAGCCUUACGAGACGAGUUUUGGAAUUGCCAGCAAAGUCGGGAUUAAGCUCAGGACAUGCCGGUGGCUCUGAGCACUCCCGGGGGAGCGCGGAAGAAGAGGAAAUAAUUCAUAGCGACUCAUCUUUGCGGCGGGGUGAGUCAGGGGGUGCUGUUGGUGGUCAGAAAGGCACGUGGCUGACUCCACCGGCUUUGUGUGCUCUGCAGGAUGCGAGCCGCCUUUGACAAUUAAUUUCUUGCCCUUUUGAUUUUUGCCUGGUGAGUUAUUUCCAGAAAGGACUUACUGUAUUUUCUGGAAUGAGUAUUGCGAUCUUUUUGUUUUUUUACAGUGGGCAAGUUUUCAGCUGGUGAUUUAUCAACAAAGUAUUUUACAGGAUCACGGUUAAAAGCUCUUCUUUAAAAAAAAAAACCCAACACAUCCUGUGCGAUAGGGAAAGUAAAAGCAUCUCUGUUUUCAAAUGAUGAAGGAAUAACCGAAAGAGCUGGUUCUUGGAAUAGUAGCUCCACUGGCACUCGGUGGUGAUUUCCUGUGCAUUUGCUGCAAGAAUCACUCUGUGAUGCGAGUAGGUGGUACUAAAGGGUUAUUACGAAACCGAGUUUUUUUUUCCUUCGACCAGACGUUUUGAGUCAUGGAUCGGGAUAGCAGCUUCAGAGCUUUCUCUUUGUUCGAGCAGCUCUCCUGAAAUGCACAUCCAGGAUAUUCUGCGAUUCUCUGCUCUCACGCAACGAGCAGACCGGGCACAGGGCUGGCGGUGCAUAGAGCGCCCUUCGCUCCGCUCCAUCCCGGCGAUGGGAACCGAGGACGCGGCCCAGAGCGCGCAAGGUGCACGGGGAGCGGGUUCCCGACGCCUUUUGCAUCGUAAGUAUUUUUCUCGUGGUUUUUCCCCCAGACGCGAGAGACAAAAUGGAGUUGGCAUCGGGAUGGAUGUCUGCGCCAAAACGAGGUGGCGAUGGUUUGGAGCGGUUUGGUUCUGGUUUAGGAGGAGAUGGGUUCCCACUGGCCGGAGACAGUUGGCUUCUCCAUCAGAAAAUUAUGAAAGAAAUAGGAGCUGCUUAAGGGAGUUGGUCUGGCUCCUAAACCGGAGGAAUUGUUGACCUACUGACUCAGUUAUGAAGCAUUAGGGAAGCAGUCGUGCUGUGGUUUCUUUUGUUGGUGGCAGAUUCAGAAGACGCCUGCAAGCGUUACGGGUACGAGUAGCAAAAAGAGAUGGUUCUGGUACCUGCUGCCUGUGGGAUUUAUUUUGUGCCAGGAAGGAGCCGAGGUGCUGAGUACUGACUAACACCUUAGAGCUUUAUUUCUGAUGCUUCUCCUGAUAAUGCAUUGGUAAGUUUAUAUGCUUCUCAUUUUCAGUGCUGAGAUGCUAUCUAGCUAAAUGAAAGAAAGCUCUUAAAGAGCUUUUUGAACGUGGGAAGGUGCGUUUGUUUUCUUCACUGCUUUUACAGCAAACACGAGCUGGCCUGCUGCAGUUUCGGAGUCUGGAAAUAAGGGGGAAAACUUUGUCCAUCAGGUCAACAAUUUAAAAUUGCUGUUCCCUCCCACCUUUAACCUGCAAACCUCUGCUAAUGUUGGUACUGAGCAAAGAGGCUGGGCCAGCGUGGGGAUCCUGUCACCCUGCAGUCAUGGCCACACUGUCAUUUUCCUGUUACACUUCACUGAAUGAUGAAUGAGCCUUUGGUCUUCUUGAAUUUCACAUGAAAAUCAGGUGUUCAUCCCUGGAAUUAAAUCUAAUGAUAUUUUUUCUUAAAGUAUGCCUAGAAUAGAAACAGUGUGCUUUUUAAUUGACUCUAAAUCCCAAGGGAAAAAGAAAUCUAUCAAUGGGUGGUUUCUCAGAAGCCUCAAAUCAUUAACAUACUGUUGGCUGAUGGAGCAAGGUCUGGAAAUCGUGAUCCCCGAAUCUCUUGUCAACUCUGCCACUGCUUUUGGGAGGCAUUUUUUUGGAACGGGGCUUCUUGGGCAAGUGAUCAUUUCUUCUUAGUCGCUGAUAGAAUGUGGAUAGUGAUAUUUAACUUUCCGUCAGUGCUUUACCAGCAUUAUCACUACAUUUUCCUUUUAGAAAGCGUGCUGGUGUGUGAUACUGUAGCAUUUCCAGAGCAUUGUUUUGAAUGCAUAGAUUAUUAGAAGAUAGGAAAGGCAGCACAGUGAUUAUUGAAUUUAUCAUGCUCUGUAGGAAUUGUCUUAAACUUCCACCACAAAGGGAAGAAUUCACUGCUGCUUUUCUCCCCUGGGUGCGUAACACAUUCCCAAACCCAUUUUAGUGAAUAUUCCCCCCCCUGCUCUUCCAAAAGAGCAACCGAUGGGGCAGCUGUACCCCACACAUCCCUAUGGAACCGCAAAUAAACACAGCGGUUAAAAAUAAACAAGAAAAACCACACGUUUAGCAUUGCACUAAACAUCCUUAAGUGCUUCCUUUGGAUUUUGGGAGGAGAACUCGAGCGCCGGGUGAUUUUAGUGAGCGGUUGUACCGAAAGAUGUGGGAGGCAGGGUCAGGGAAGAGUCACUUGGUUGUUACGUGGGUGUGAAAAGCCCAUGAAAAGGAAAGGGCCUCUAAACUGUUAACUGUUGAACCUGGCUCGAAUUUCCUCAGGCUCACACUGGAGCAGCCUCAUUUACUAAGAAAUCACAAGCAGGUUGUGUUUGAGGAGAAAGAGUCGUAGAUCUUCAGUUCGUUGUGGUUUAUCCACCUGCGGGACAGGGGAAUCGCUGCUCUUGAAAAUGCCCUGUUUUGGGGAGCGGGUUGCGGUACCUCUAUUGCAGUACACCCAAAAUAAUAGAAGAAACAACAUAUUUCUAAAGCUGAUUUUUUACAUGUAUGUUUGUAGUAUCUCCAUUUCCUUACAGGUUUUAAAACGUCUCCUAAUACGAUGCAGAGAACCUAAAAUACGUGGUGUAGAGGUUACAUUUUUCCACGCUUAUUGUGAUGAUCAUGACCCAAAAUAAAAACCAAAAAGCAGGUUUAACAGCAUUAUCUCUGAAGCAGAAAACUGGUUAUUACAUUAGUGAAGCGCUUGGGGGGGGAACACCACGCAAACAGGAAAGAAAACCAACAAACCCCACUCUCCUUUAUCAUAAAGCUUUUUAAACACAAGCCGUAAAUUACAUCAAAAGAAAACAACACAGUCUGAAAUGAGACGCACACGUGUGUAGUAUGAUGACUUCUACUAAAUCACAGUGCUUGACGUUUUAGCUCUGUGCGGUGUAUUUACAAUGUAGAUUUGGGCUGAUUUCUGAGGGAUUCCCAUGCAGAACUUCCCAGGCGAGAAUUGGUUGGCUUUUUCUUGUUUGUUCUGCACGUGUUUGGAGCUCAGCUCUCUAUGGCCUGUAGCUAUCCCAAUGCAGACUUCGCAGCCCAAGUUUGCAUACAAAAGACGAGCUCAAAAUUGGACCUGGGAAAGAGGAGCGCUUCCUUUUCCACUGCUCUACAACAAUGGCAAUAACACUUUAAAAUUACUUAUUCCUUGAGCCAAAUAAAAAUGCCUGUGUACUGGCAACAUGAGGUAUGAAUAGAAGCCACGCUCAUCUGUGCGUUUUCAGGGUACAGUUGUAUGCCACCCUUAUAAAGCACAUUUGAAAAAUAAGUAGCGGUAACUCUACUGUACAUGUUGUAGUUUUUCUAACUUGGGAAGGUCCUAACAUCAACACUGGAGUAUCUUUGUUGCUCCAGGAAGAUCAGAGAUGAACUCAAAAGCUCAGAUGUGGUCCAGAAGUCCAGUGCUUACUUCCUCCUACUUUUUAGUUUAGUAUUUAAACGUGGUCCGAAGUAUGGCUACUCCACUGUGCCACUGUGUCUCUGUUCAUGCUGGGUGACAUAGUCUAAGGUACAAAAAAUUUGGAAUGAAGUGGAAAAUAAUCUAGGAAUAUUGAGUGUGGUUUACAGUGGGAGGAAAAGGAGUGUUAUUUAGGGAUUCAUAUACUGCCGCCGAGGGAGCGACGGAGAGAAGGAUGGAAGAGCCUGCAGGGUCUAUGCCCAACCCCAGCUGGGGGCCUGGUAAGAUCCCACCACAGCCUCUUUCCAUCUGAUUCUCUUAAUUCCCAAUUCUCUUGCUUCCCAUAUAUUUUGCAAGCUCUGGGCAGCGCUGUGGCUUUUGGGGUUCACCGCUACGGUAAAUGGACACUAGCGGGUGUUCUUAACUUCUAAUCCAAGUCUGGCCACCUGAAUUGUGACUUCGAAGGACCUCAGCGACUACUGAAAUUCCCCAUAUGACCUGUUAUUACAGGCUCCUGGGAGAGCUUAUAUGCAGCUUUAUUGCCAAAACAUGAGGUUGGCAGGAGUGAGUCAUAACUGAAGAUCUCAGCUUUGCUCUUUCAUUUACUUUUAUCCACUAAAAAUAAAAAUAUUUCCAAGAAUACAGGUAGGCAGAUGCUGUUCUCCUGUUAGGGCAGAGCUCUCACUGGCUCUCAAGUGUAUUUGCACAGCUCAUAGGUUCUAUUUUUCAAGCUUUAGUAUAAAAAGAGCCGUCUAUACAUUUUAUCUAAUCUACAGCACAGUAGGAGUGAGCAAUUCCUGGAGAAGGGACCAGAAUAUAGGGUUCUACCCCUUUUCCUUAUCUUCUGUGGACAUGUUUUUGGAUUACUGUGAUUUUUACGUAUCGUCUUGUAGUUGUUUUAGUGUGACCAGAGUGAGGUUUCGCAUGCGUUUUCAACUCUUGACUUCAAUGGUUGUCGCUCAUGACCAUGUUGGCUUUGGGUUGAGCCACCUCAGUUUGCUGAUCUGAUUAAAAACUAGAUUCUUUGGCUUCUCCCUUGCUUUUCUUUUGGGAAAAUUCAAACUGUUCCAGCUCAGUAAAUGGAAAAAUAGCAGGAUCUCAUGGUGACAAACAGAGGAGGUGGGACCAUCCCUUUCAGUGACACCUGCAUGAAGUUCAGUUCAACCCAUUCAGAAUAACUCAUCUCCCCAUCUCUUAAUCACAGUGGAGCUCAAGCAAGACCUAAUUUCACCUUGUUCUCCAAAACAAGCUUUUUAUUCUUCCCUGUUUUCCUUUGGCAUCUGGAUUUUAAGUCUCUACAUUUAACUUAAGCAUCUGUGUAGACUGAGUAGUCAACGUCAUCCUUUUAUAUUUCUGUUUUCGGAGCUUAAGUAUUUAAGAGUAGGAUUAAUAACGUAUGGUGGCAAAGAGGAGACCAUCCCUUACUAAAAUUUCUAAUCAUCCAUGUAAAUAAGUAAUACAGAAAUAAUAUUUAUAGAGCCUUUCGUGGCAUUUAUCUCAUUCUUAUCAUCUGUUUUUUUCGUACAUGUGCUUUAAACAUCAAAAGGUUUGUUUGUGCCAUAUGUCUUUUUGCGCCGUCUUCUUGCUGCGUGCGCGCUUACCUAAUAACUUGCAAACAGCAAACAAAGCACAUGAUCUGAGCAACAAGCUGGUAUUUUACCCUAAGGGAGGAUUUUCUCAGCGCACAAAUCAAGUGUAAAUAGUGCAAAAUGCCGUAUAGUAUAGAACCAACCACACUAAACGCUUCUUUGCGUGUAUGAGUGAAGCUAUUUGCAUGCGUGAAUGUUGACAGAGUUGAACUCUGUAUUAUCAAAUCCUCUUGUCAAAAGUUGACCCCGGGGGCGUUUUGCGAGAAAGAUGAUGAUUGUCUCUUUAAUUACUUAAACUCUGUUUUGCCUGUUUGGGAGAGCUCCCCACAACUCUGUAAUUACCGCCCGCCUGCCAUUCAGAUCAGGCUCUGCUGGCACCGUACCGCGGGACUUUGGACGGGAGCGGCUGCAACAUCCAGGAGCUCCUUUUAAUUGAACGCUUUGAUUAUCGCACAAUAAUCAGGCGAUUGAGUUGCUGCAACAGUUUGCCAGCCCUGUGCUAAGCGCUUCUACGGAAUUACGGAAUCAGAGAUGGAAGAGAUGGAAAGUUCAUUACAUCACCCAGACCAAAUUCUUGCCAGUACAUGUUUUCUGCUACAUUAUUUUGGUUUUUAUUCUGUGGUUUAUGGCUACAGAUACUCUAAGAACUUGGCCUUCCACUUGGUUCUUCCGGAGUCUUUUCCAUCACGUUUGAUGGCGAGAUUUUUCUUUGGCCUAAACUUUUCCAUUUCUUUGUUUCACCAUAUUAUUUCGAGUCUGCGUUCUCAUCUUUCAGUAAUCCUCUCUGGGGUGUUAACUGCCUCUAAAUAUGAGCGGAAUGGUAUUACUCUUGAAUAUUAGAUGUAUCACGUCCUUUAAGUGCUGCAUACUCAAUUCUUCAGGAUUUGGGAAAGUUACACUGAUUGAAGAUAAGCUUUUAAACUGAACUGCUAAUAGGAUAAUUUCUCGGACGCGUAUUUUAUUCCGGUGUAUGAGUUCUGGCAUCACUUAAGAAAUAGUUGAAAAUUACCUGAAAAGGCCAAUUUUACUCAGAAAUGAAAACGUUUUUAUAUGGGGGAGUUAUGCCAGUGUAUCUUUAAUGAUUUUUAACUCUAUUGUGGGAAGUGAUAUGCGCAGGCAAGUCUGCAAAGGGCAUUACGGGGAGAAUUUAAACAUUGUGGUUUCCAUUAGUGACAGAAACAGUGGAAGUUGUAGUAUUUUGAGUUUUCUUUCCCCCCCCCCUCAGCCUUCCAAUAUCCUUUAUUUUUCUCAAUGUUUCUUCACUUCAUAACUAUUGCUUCUUUUUAUAGUUUCACUUGUUUUGGUGGCAUUUGAGGGUUUCUUGUUUGUUGUUUCUACUUCAGGGCUUGGCCUUCGCUACCAGAAGCCCCAGGCACCCAAGCAGGGUUGUCUCCAAGUUUUCCAUUGUCUCGACCACAAAGAUUGAGAUCGAUAUCCCCACAAAACAAAUACUCUGUGACCAUAAAGACAAAUGGACAUUGGUUUUGCCCCAUGAGAGACAGGAGCCUGAUGGACCUUUGGUUGUUAAACUGUCUCCUUAAAGCUCAAUACAGAGCAGGGAUGUUGAUGAGAGAGGCGAGGACAAGCGUAUCGUAGGAGGUAAAAUUACUACUAGUGAGUGGAUUGAAGGUGUUUGAGGAUCAGGUUGUGUAACCGAAUGGGGAGAUGAAUGAAAACCAUAUAAAUGGGUGGGUUAGCGUGUGAGUAAGAGACAAUGCGAGUGGGCGGGUAACGAGACAGGCAAGUGAGAAAGGAGGGAGGAGUGGGUGAGUAGAUGGGUAGGUAUGUAGCGAAGAAGUUGAAACAGCAUUAUGAGCCAGCUCUUGUGAUACCUGAAAAUCUGGUACCAACUCAAUAAUCCCCAUUGGGACGUGCAGAAGGGACCAACAACCAGCGCUGGUGCAGGGACUGGAGGCUGAGCAUCAGCCCAUCGGGACCUCUGUUGCUUUCCAGCUCGUUGGAUGGAGCAUCAUUUACUCUCCUUAAACUUCCCUGAGUCUGUGCAAUGAACAAUAAUCUUCACCUUGGUCAGACAGUUGUAUUUUGCUACUGUUCCUGCAGAAAAAAUAUAAGACUGUAAUUAUAAUUUCAGCUCUGGUGAAGUUACAGAGAAAGAGAAGCACAACAGAAACUUCUUGUACUUUGUAUUCCCAAGAACUGCAGGUGGGAGGACAAAUAAAAGGUAUGAAGAUGAGGGAUACGCUGGAUUUACAAAUACACAUCAGCAAAAAGGCAUCUCCCAAAUUUGAAGAUCCUUUCAUUUUAACGAAUCAGGCGGGAAGGUAAAGUAACUUUAAAUCAUUAUCAUCAAACCUUGACUGACGGGGCUUUUAUUAGGAUAUUCCACUAUAACUGCUGAAGGCUGGACAUAGUUCACCGCGACUAAUACGUAACUGUUUUUAAUUUACCAUGGCAGAGUUACAGCCCCAGCUGUGACCUCUCUAGUCGGGUACAGUCAGGCUAUUGUUCAAAAUAAUGGCUUUACUAUCUUGUUAAGUUAUAUUAAGCUGUGCGUGGUACAUUUUCAAUAUUUAUUGUAACAGAGCAAGUCCUUUUGAAGCCCAGAUAGAGGUGAAUGACCACUGCAGGAAGUUACAAGCUUCAGUUAGCUGCCAAAAAGGUGUAUAUUUACUAAAAAACAACUAAUACGUGGUUUUAUACUCAAAAAUCCUUGAGUCCCUUCAAGUUUUUCAUCCAGUAGCUGGCCAGCAUGAGAGAUUUCCCUUGUUAGACCUAUUUUUUGAUGAAAACUACUUUUUUUUUGUCUGCAUGUGAAGUUGGCAGCAGGAUGAAGACCUGGUCUAUGGAGCAACCUGCUGGAAGGAGCAUUUUAACCCCGCGCUCGCCGUUGUGUCGUCCAUGGGCGGUUUUGGCUCAGGUUGCAUCACUCACACGCAGAAUCCCAGAGUGUCAGGGGUUGGAAGGGACCUGGAAAGCUCAUCCAGUGCAAUCCCCCCAUGGAGCAGGAACACCCAGAUGAGGUUACACAGGAAGGUGUCCAGGCGGGUUGGAAUGUCUGCAGAGAAGGAGACUCCACAACCCCCCUGGGCAGCCUGGGCCAGGCUCUGCCACCCUCACUGGGAAGAAGUUUGUUCUCAAAUUUAAGUGGAACCUCUUGUGUUCCAGUUUGCACCCACUGCCCCUUGUCCUGUCAUUGGUUGUCACCAAAAAGAGCCUGGCUCCAUCCUCCUGACACUCACACUUUACAUAUCUGUAAACAUGAAUGAGGUCACCCCUCAGUCUCCUCUUGUCCAGCUCCAGAGCCCCAGCUCCCUCAGCCUUUCCUCACACGGGAGAUGCUCCACUCCCUUCAGCAUCUUUGUUGCCCUGCGCUGGACUCUCUCCAGCAGUUCCCUGUCCUGCUGGAACUGAGGGGCCACAACUGGACACAAUAUUCCAGGUGUGGUCUCCCCAGCGCAGAGCAGAGGGGCAGGAGAACCUCUCUGACCUACUGACCACCCCCUUCUAACCCACCCCAGGUACCAUUGGCUUCCUGGCCACAAGGGCCCAGUGCUGGCUCAUGGUCACCCUGCUGUCCCCAGGACCCCCAGCUCCCUCUCCCCUACGCUGCUCUCUGACAGAUCAUUCCCCAACUUAUACUGGAACCUGGGGUUGUUCCUGCCCAGAUUCAAGACUCUACACUUUCCCCUUGUUAUAUUUCAUUAAAUUUCCCCCCCCCCAGCUCUCCAGCCUGUCCAGGUCUCUGAUGGCAGCACAGCUUCCAGUGUCACCACUCCUCCCAGCUUGGUGUCAUCACACAGAACGUCAGGGAUUGGAAGGGACCUCGAAAGAUCAUCUAGUCCAAACCUGCUGAAAGAUCGUCAGCAAACCUGCUGAUAGUACACUCAGGAUAGUUGCGUUUUUUAUGGUUCCAUGGGUGUCUGAAAAAUCCGUCAGGGUUUGCUAACUUUUAAAAGUAUGCCUAAGCGGUGAGUGAAAUCUUUCUCAUCUUUGAAUGGGGUCACCUGUUGCAAACUAAAUUUCCUAUAAAUCUUGCAACUGUAGCCAAGCCAGCAGCGUUUACACUUUUUAAUCUGAAACUGCACUUAGGCAGAUGUUUCUUAAUGUUAAACCAGAGCAGAUCUCUUUGGUGGUGUUAAAAUGCUGUGGUAACUGCGGAGUGAGGCGCAGAGGAAUGUGUGGGUAUGUUGAAUCCGAGCCUUUUGGGUUGUAGAUCUGUCAGAGCCCCAAAUUUGCAUUUCUUACAUAAGCAGAAAUCCCAGUAGUGUUUCCACGUGCUUUGGGAACUGCGGGAAUGGAAUUGCUAUAUAAAACCUUGCUUUUAUUUGCUAUCUGUGAAAUCGCAGGGACACUUAAAAUAUUUACAGUUUCAACCCAAACUAGAAGUUUGUUUCCUUUUACCUUUGAUACUCAAACCUACCGCAGUGGUCGCUCAGACCAUCCCGCAGCCUCCAUGGAGCUGCGGACAGUUACAAGAUCCUGAGAAUACACAGGAAUUAAAACCUUGACGUUUCCCCUCUUGUUUAAUUAAUUGUUUGCUUUUGGCGGUGGCAAGGUUACAAAACAUUUGUAAUAAGCCUGCUUCGUCUUUUGCUGGUUUUUUCCAUAUGGGUGUGUGCUUCCUUUUCAUUAUGUUGUUUUUCUUUCCUUUUUUUUUUUAAAAGCACAACCACUGCUUUCAUUUUAACAGUAAGAAAUGAGCUUCUCGCCGAGCAGGAAAGAAAAGUUUCAUAAACACUGCAAUUCUGAUCCUUCUAAUCCUUUAUUACCUGUAGGGGCAGGUGCAGGAACCUACCACAGGAGAGAUUUCUUAACUUUUUCCAGCCUUGGGAUUACACAAUGGAGCGGUAGAUUUUAGACGCUACGGAGAAAACUCAGAACAACAUGGUCGAAAGGUGCGUUGCUCAGAAAUACAAUAUAUCCCUUUUGUUUGGCUUAUAUUUAGUUCUGCCCUGUAGAGUUCUGAGCCCUCCAGCCAGCAUUUUAAACACAAAAUAGAAAUAGGCUGAAAUGCGCACGUAUUAUCUUGUUUCCUGCUGAUGUAAAAGAGGUUUUAUUUCUGGAGAUAGUGUCUUCUAAUACUUGUGUUACCUGGACUAGUUCUGUUUGCUUGUUACUCAAGAGAAAGUGAAGGGAGCCACUUGGUCUCAGUAAAAUCAAAGUAAUUCGUGCUGUUUGCAUUAUUGGCUGUAAUGCUGAGAGGGAAACAACCAGACAGCUUAAAGAACUUAGAUUUGGUUUGUUUUUUCAGCAUUCUGCAAUGCUGAAGUAAGGGUAGGGCAAGGAGGGUGGUAAGAAGUGCAUCACCCAUCCCUUGUGAUCCUGUGGUUUCGUCUGAAUCUUGUUCCUUUUUGCUCCCUACGAUCAGCCACGUGUUUCAAUGGUGAUCGCUGCCCUAAGACUGUCGCUGCAUGCGGGAUGUCUCAUUUGCCUCAUGUUAAAAAUAUCUGUGUGUAAUAAUGUUUUUAUAGUCCUUCCCAUGUGGAAUAUUUGUCAUACACCUUUCUAUAAAGAUUCAUGCCACCCCUUUCCCAUAUUACUCUGUUUUGUGGAUGGAGAUUCCUGUGCAAGGACUUGUCAGUGUACAGUUUGGUCUGAAAAACAGUUCAAAGCGCCUUAUUGUUUAUUGCUAGAAAUAAGUUCUCACUAUUUUUCUGUCUUGCUCAAUCUAGUAGCACCAAUACACUUGUUAAAGAAUAAUCUGUCUGCUUAAAGACGUUAAGGUUUAUUAACCAGCAGAAAUGCUAACGAGCUAACGUGUAGUGAUGGAUCUGAGAAGCUUCUUCCACUGAUCAUUCAGGAGAUACCUGGAAACUUUUAAGGUUUGGGUCUAAAAUUGUAUGUGCAAAUCAUAACCAUAUCAUAAGGGGCGAAUUUCUGUCCAAAUUUGUCUCAAAAUGGUAUGUCCAUUAAAAGGUAUUGUCGUGCUGCCAUUUACAUUACCCAGGCCACCUUCCUUCUUGAAUGAACUUAAUGAAAUUGUGUCAAAGAGUGGGAUAACUACAAUGUGAAAUAACUGGAGAUUAGCAUUUUCAUUCUCAAAUAAUGGGUAUUGCUGCAUAAGCAGUAUUACAAAUAAAAUAGAACAAAAGCAGCUUUAUGUGUUAGCAUGACUUUGGAAAAGGGACAAUGAAUUGCUGCUUUUACAACAUGUAGGAAAAUGAGCUUCUGAGCUGUUUCUGUACUUCAGAUAUAUUUACUGAUACGUCCUGAUUAAUACGUUUCCAUUUUAAGUGUAUAACCCUCCUUUAAAAGACCAGAUUUCCCGAGUGCCAAGCAGCAGACGGGCCCUAUGUGCUUAAUUCCAGCUGGCAGUGACACCUUCUGGAUGCUGAGCACUUGGAAAAUUUCACCUGUCAUAUGAAUCAGUGAUUGAAAAUGGAGUUGUUCGCAGAGCCUGGUGUGAUCCACGGUCAGCAGUGUCAUAAUAGGAGAAAACAGUCCAAAUGUGCUGUCUCGAAGGCGUGUUCUCUGAACUGUCAUAAAACAUUAUAUUUUCAAAUUGCUUUUAAAACGCGAUGAUGCAAAUUUGCACACUCUCUGCAGAUUUGACCUGUAUUUAUAUCUACACAGAAUCACCGAACAUUAGGGAGUGGAAGGGACCUCCAAAGAUCAUCUAGACACGUUUGUAAGAAGCCCAUAAAAUUAUUUCCGUAUUGUUUUCCGUAAAUCUCCAGUUUAUUAUUCUGAGAAAAACGCAUCUGCAGCGUGCACGAUCUGGCUUUCUGAUAUGCAGAUGCACAGCCCUGCCUAUCUACUUAAAUCAGUGUAGCAAGCGCGUUUACAAACUAUGUGACAAUGUACAGCCUCCUAUCUGCGAAGCAGAUCAGACUGAAAUUGGGACUCUGUCCAAAAAAGUUAAAUACUGCAAUCAAUCUACUUACUGUGUCAGCACUCGGAUUUGUUUCUGUUCUAUGCUGCAGGGAAAGGAAGUGGAAAAUACACGUUAGCAUCCCAAAAAGGAUUCCUGAGCCGCGGAGGAGGCAUUGUUAAUAGGAGCUGCUUAAAAGUUCCCGUUUUUGCAGGGGUAAAUAGAUGAUGAAGUGGAUGUUCUAAGCCUGUGCGACACGAGGGAAGUCACGACGUGACACUACGGAUGCCACGUGACUUCCCUGUUUAUACUCAGCCCGGCUGCAAGUGUCUGUGAAACAGCGGUGACAGAACGAUCUGCUUGUGUCUCGGCAUCCUCAGCCUUUAGAGCCGCCCUUGGGUACCAGCGGGGAUUUGUGGAGUUCAGUCCCUCAGAAAACCUUAAUUUAAACGCUGAUGCGUUCACACUGGGUUGAUCUCCUGCUUCACAACGUGUGUUUCCUUCCCUUCCGCACACCCCACCUCUAUUUUCAGCUGCUGGCUGCAACCUCUCGAGCAUCCUCAUUGAGCAUCAUCAUCAUCAUCGGCUCCUCGGGUAGGCAGGUGGGCUUCAUGGCAUGAUUCCACUUAACCCUCUUCUUUCCAGUUCCCAUCUUAACUUAACUUAACCAUUCUGCCCUAAAAUUUGCUUCAUUUCAAGAAAAUCGUUCACCUACCCUACUGGGAGAGGACGACCCGUGCGCCCAUGAGAUGCUGUGGGCAGCGCCCAAGCGCAUAGGCUGUGCUACAUAACAGCAGGGUCGCUCCGGGGUUAUAACAGUAAAUCUAUAUAAAGGUAAUCGCACUUCAGAAGCGAUUUAAGGAGCCGGGUUUCUGAGCAAAAGCCAAUUGCUAAGGUUUAAUCUGCACCCCAAAGCUCUGCUGGUAAAUCUGAUUUGGCAGCUUUGGUAGAGACACCAAUAUAAAGGCAUCUUUCCUGAUAAAAAGCAGUGGGACUUUUAAUGUCCACAACAAAAAUAAAAGCAUUUUAAAGGGGUUUUAAACUUAUUAUUAGACCAAUCGAUGUGCAGCAGGCUACGUGGGUCUGAUUUGGCUCUGAUGCAGAGGUCGGACAGCAUCCUACACGUGCACAUGUGUCUGCAAGUGCACAAAGAUGGAUGCAACUGUCUGCACUUUGGUGUCUGGUGACUGUGAGACACUUCAGGUUACACCUGGGACAUAUUUACAGGGCUGGCGGGUACAGAAUAAGUUCUGGGAGUUGUAGGUGAGCCAGGCAGGGUAUUCAACAUCACCAAAAAUAACAGGAGGCACAGGUGCUGUGUUCAGGCUACUAGAUCUUCAUGCAAGUAUCCAUUGUAAUUGCUGGAGAUGCAUUUUAUUGCUGAGAAUGAUUCUGCUCACCCAGCAGAAGACGCUUUAUACUUGAUGGGCUGAAAUGCUGUCCAGAUGCUAUGGAUCUCUAAUGGUUCAACCACUCGUUUUGCCUCUGACACAGAAGGUGAAACAAAUCUGAAUAAUAAGUAGUUUGAAAUAUAAACCAGUUCAUGUGAACGGCUCAGAAUCUGUAACAGUCAAUUGAGAUGCAAAGAAACUUAAUCUUUUUAUGCAGCUGGAACACUUUGCAGAAGAAAAUCAUGAGUCUCAAAGCAAGUAACUUUUCAUGGGUGUGAUUACAGCUUUUUGCUUACACUUCCCAUAUACGUUUCAGUGUCGUAAGCACAUUUAUUUACCCAUUAAGCAUUUUUAAUAGUCUUUUGCCAUGGCUAACUAGUAGAGCAUUGAGUAGUUCUUUUAGUGAAGUAGGGGACAAUUUAUAAUUUUGCCCAAAAUACUACACCUAAAAAAAAUGGGAUUUUUGUUCUUAAUUACUGGACUCUUUCUUUUAGCAUGUCUUGGUUUAAAACAAAACAUCAACAAGCCCAUUGUGAUGCUUUUGAUUAGGCUUCGAGAGGGAUAAUAAAAGUAUAGUGUCCCUUUGUGAAAGGCGUUUUUAAUUAUCGUUAAUUGUACUUCCUCGCUUCAUUUCUGAAGGAAAAGGGAGGUGACCUCAUCCUGAGAGCUGUCUGUCCGAUGCUGGUGUCAUUCCCCGCCUGGAAAAGAGGUUAUUUUUUUGUUUCUUGUUGUUUUGUUUGUUUUAAUGAGGAUCUAUCAGCUGGCCUGACGGGCCCUGCGGCUUUGGAAACACUGUCCAGACUCUGAGCACCAUGCGUGUUUCUGAAAUGUCGAGCUACAGACUUGUGGUCUUUGUGCUGUGGUAACGUCUCUGACAGCAGCCGGUACCAGAGACUUCGGUGAUGGGAGCCCUUGGAGGGGAUGGUGCCCUUGUGGCCAACAAGGCCAAUGGUACCCGGGGUGCAUUAGGAAAAGUGUGACCAGCAGGUCAAGGGAGGUUGUUCCUCCCCCUCUGCUGUGCCCUGGUGAGGCCACAUCUGGAGUUCAGUGUCCAGUUCUGGGCUCCCCAGUGUAAGAAGGACAAGGAAUUACUGGAGGGAGUGCAGCGGUGAGACACAAAGAUGCUGAGGGGUCUGGAGCAUCUUCCUGAUGUGGAGAGACUGAGAGAGCUGGGGCUGUUCAGCUGGAGAAGAGAAGCUGAGAGGGGAUCUCAAUGUUGAUAGAUGUAUCCAGGGUGGGUGUCAGAGGAUGGACCAGACUCUGUUCAGUGGUGCCCAGUGACAGGAUGAGGGGCAACGGGCACAGACUGAAGCACAGGAGGUUCCGUCUGAAUAUGAGGAGAAACUUCUUUCCUCUGAGGUGCCAGAGCCUGGCCCAGGCUGCCCAGAGAGGUUGUGGAGUCUCCUUCUCUGGAGACAUUCAAACCCACCUGGACACCUUCCUGUGUGAUCUGCUCUGGUGACCCUGCGUUAGCAGGUGGGUUGGACUGGGUGAUCUCCAGAGGUCCCUUCCAACCCAACCAUCCUGUGAUUCUGUGAUUUGAGGGCUCAUUCCUCCUCUUUCAUACUAACCGAUCAAAUACUCAUGGAUGUUUUCAUUAUCUAUCCAAAAACUUGAUUUCUUACCCCUUCCCAGGCCUUUGGCUUUGGCAUAUUCUCCUGAGGUCCACGCUUUAUCUGUGCUUUGCAUUUAAACAAAUGCAAAGAGAUUCCCUCACCCUUUAUGCUGCAAACCGAGCAGGGCAGUGGUGGCUUCAUGAGUGUUUGUGUGGGUGCCAGCGUGUUGGGACCGAUCAAUAUUCAAUUGUAACUGUAAUGAAAAUGCCUAAAUAUUUAUAAUGGUUUUAGUUUUUGAAUGUCUCCAUAUGUCAGAAGGAUGAAUAGGAGUACUUUUUGUCUCUCUUCACUAUUCUGUAUUUCUUAAGAUGUUACCUUGUCUUGCCUUACGUGAACCUUCUCUGAAAUGCCCUGAACUUUUCAGUUCUGUUUCAAUUCAUCCAGCGCCAUCUGCCGCAGUGUCUGCUGUGUAUUUCAGUCCGGACGAAAAUUCCCGUUUCUCAUCGGUACCUCCGCACUCUUUCAUAAAGGUGAUGUGACAAGCUAAGCUCACAAGUUGUUCCCACCUUUGUUGCCAAUUAUAUAUCAAUGUGAAGAGGCAGAUUUUAACAAGCUGUGUCCUUAGAGGUGUUUGAAUACCCAACUCGCAGCGAGGCUCAUGGGGCUCUGCGCUGGGGUUUCUGCUCGACUUCUGUUCAGGCAAAAAGUCUCUCAUUGACUUUGAUCACUUUAUUUUUUUAAAUUGUAGAUCUCAGGUCAUAGAAUAGUUUGGGUUGAAGGGACCUGCAAAGCUCAUCCAGUGCCCCCCCUGCCAUGAGCAGGGACAUCUUCACCAGCUCAGGUUGCUCAGAGCCCCGUCCAGCCUGGCCUGGGAUGUCUCCAGGGAUGGUUCAUCUACCACCUCUCUGGGCAACCUGGGCCAGGCUCUCACCACCCUCAUCAUAAAGAAUUUCUUCCUUAUGUCUAUCCUGAGUCUCCUCUCCUUUAGUUUAAAACCUUCACCAUUUCUGUCUCAGAUAUGUAUUUAAAGCUGCUGAUUCUUCCUUGGUAUCAAAACCUUUGACUUGGAGAUGGAUGGAGAGCAGAGUGCCAGCAGUUCCCUCUGUGAGGGAAGAAGCAUUCAGCUGUUUUAUUUUCUAGCCAUGGCCUGGAGAAAUCCGAGAGGUCACUGACCUCUGUACGUUUAAUGGGUCUCCUCACUGCUUUGCCAAAUGUGUUGGGAACUGUGGUCUGGAGCUCCCGGUUUAUCUCAUUCCUUUGCUAUCUGCUGCUCAUUAGAAGACAGAAUUAAAAUCUCAGCGGUGGGAGAUGUUAGGGCUGUCUGAAAUGGUUUUCAGUCUGUGGCCCUGAAAUCCUCUUCAGGCCAAAAGAGCAGAAGUUUUCCUGACGUAAACCACAUUUUUCAGUAAAAACACUGAACUCAGCUCACCCGAAACUGACUUUAUUCGGUCCUUUCUUUGCUAUCUAUAGCAUGGGGAUUACAAUAGCAUCUUAAAGAAUUGUUCAGAAGACGACGGUAGUUUGUUAGCAUUUCUGCAGUCUUACCAAAAUAUAUGUUAAAUAUAAAUAUUCUCAAACCUGUUAAUUUCUCAGGGUUGAGUUUGGUAUCCUGUUCUGCUCUGGGUUUUUUUUCCUUUGUGUUUUUAAAGAUGUGUUCUCAUCUUUGCUGCGUAUAUUCUCCAGAUCUGAGUUACCGUACGAGAUACUCUGCAUGCUGGUGGUGGAAACAAAGAGAUGUUGGUACUAUUUAGUUUCUGAAUUGCUGGGUACCGUGUUGGGUAGGAAGCAACAUCUGUAUCAGCAGUGAGUACCAGCUUUUCUAUCCUGAAGAAGAAAGGCAGGAUGUGGAAAUGUCUCUCAUUUACAUGAACUACUGUAGAAAUUGAGGCCUUCCAGAUAAUUCCUUGAACCAUCUGCAUGUUGUUAUAGUUUGACUCCCAGAUUUUCAAAAUGGGGUAAAGAACCUGUUAUCAACAGCGAAGGCGCUUUAGAAACCUACCUCUGCUUAGGAGAGGGAUUCCUUAACACAAUUCUGCCCCGUGGGGAGCGUAAAACAAAACUGCAUUCCCACCUUCGGGCUGAGUAUCUUGUUUCCCUACAGGGGACCAUUAUUUAUUUUCAAGUGCGGGAGGAACAUCAAGCUGCUGUUCUCAUCUCCCCAAGCUCCACCAGCCCGCUUUUCGGCACUGGGCGCCACAAGCGUUCGCCACGACGACAAGAGAUGGACCCGGGACAGAAGUAGCGCGGCUCCUUCUCCCCCUGCCACGUGAGCCUUUGAUAGUGGAUUUCAGAGACAUACACUUCACGUGGGCUCUUGUUUUAAAAAAUAAACCGGCUUGCGGCUACCCCGGGGCAAAAAUCAAUGACCGCAAGAAUACCAGAGGAUUGAGCAACGUGCUAAGGGCAUGUUGUUUCCUUUAAGGAUUCUGACUAUAAAUGACGUCACUUAGAUAAUUUGGAUGUUUGCGAGCGCUACAGGGCUUGGAAAGGGAAAGCGAAUCGGAAAAACAUUGGGAAGCUGAACAAUUUGUUUUGUUUUAUGGCUCCCUGGUAGUUUAAUGAGGGAGCUAUUACUCAUGCACUGUCACUGCGCAUCUAGAAAAUUCCUCUGGGUUCAAAAACUGGCAGGAAAAAGUCGUUUCCUAAAAACCGCUGAAUUAAUGAGAUAAAGCCCAUUGCUCUGGAGUCCCUCACAGGGAGGAUAGGAGGCAGAGCUGUGCAGGACUCGCGGUGUGUUGGAAAUGUUCCCCGCAGGGUGUUUCAAACAGCAGAUAGUGCUUCAGAGAAGGGAUGCAGAAGACAUGCUCAGCAUCCCUCUUUUAGGAUAUAGUACUAUAGAUUUGGGGAGACAAAAAUACUAGUUUGAUUGGGGCAUCAUAGUUCUCCCCCUCCAUUCCCUUGCAUCUGAAAAUAUCUGAAACUGGAGUAUUGGACUCCUCCUAAAGCCAUGACAUUUAACAAAAGGUUUUCUUACUCAUGGGCAGUGGUACAAGGCAUUAUAUUAGUAAUAUUGGCACUUGAAGUGAGGGAGAUGCACUUAAGGAGAAGAAAAAUGUCUAUUUGUUGUGUGGGCUUAAUUAUGCAGCUUUAAAUGAACUGUCACAGUUUUAUAAUCUGUUUUCCCCUAUCUGGCAGGCUUCUGGCUUCCUGCGUCGUGUCUGCGUUAUUUUAUACAUCUGUACAGCGCGAUUUGCGUAUUUACCUUGGUUAUUUUAGGUAUUUUAGCCUAUCUCGUCCUGUCCAUACAAGACACACGUUAUCCUCGUUUUAACUGAAAACCUAAUACAACUUUUAUGGCACUUGAGUGCAGCAUGAGCGCAGUUUCAGUUUGAUGUUUUGGAGUAAACAGAGAACUCAUCCAGUCUGGAAAUACGAGUAAAUAUAACAUAUUCCUCACCAACCCCCUGACAGAAUUACUGCCUUGUAGCAUAAGUUACUGUGGUUUCCUCUGCAAAAAAUGCAGAUAAAGCAGGGGCUGUAAGGAGGGAAAUCCAUAAGGAGUCUGUAAAGUCUAAUUUAACUAUUAGUAAUAAAAUUAACAAGCCACUGUAACAUUUCUGCUGCAGUUUGUCUUAAACUGUGAUGCCUCAAACACAAAUGUAGUCAUUCCCUAUUCUUAUUUUGGUACUAAACCGUAGUCUGGAUCAAUUUUGUCUUCUCUGUCUCUUCUUCUUCCUGUCCUUGUAAGAAUUUCCUAAAUUCUUUUAAUUAUCAUUUUUCUUUUGCCAAUACACAAACUUUAAUCCAGAAUAUUGUGAUUUUCCAUGGAAAUACAGAAGUAGCAGCUGAAAGGUUGUGUAUGUUAAGCUUCAGAUUAAAGAGGCGCUUAACUGUGUCCCCUUGUAUACGUGACAUCCGCUGUCUUUUGAAAUACCCAAUACUGAGCUGGUUUUGAUUUUGAUUUUUUAGAUUUUAUUUUAAAUCACAUAGAUGCCCAGUUUAUGCCUCGGAGCUGGAUUUUUGCCCUUGGGUGUGGAACUCGCUGCCUGGGCCAGGAUUAGGAAAUAAUUCCUCCAUCUGCUGUGAAAAAGUCUUGGAUCACAGAGCGGAGCUCAUUUUUCAGCAGGAUGGGAAUGGGACGGAAUGAGAGCAAAAAGGCUGAGGGAAUGUUUCUGGUAUGGUGAAGAAUGGCCGGGGUGUGGGUGGGAUGUACUUGUCGUUAUUUCAGAAUCAAAAUAACCAGGAGAGACACUUUGAAGGGACCUUGUUUGUGAGCAUCAGUCGUUCUGAGGUUUGAGUACCAGGAGCAGUGGGGACUGUUCCAGAGGGAUGUUCAGCCUCAUGUGUUGGGUCUACACGGCUUCAGUUGUCCAGGGUGGUGUGAAGAUGAAGGUUGAGAAGACAUAAAAUGGGCUGUUUGGCUUUCUGGGUGAGUGUUUCAGUGUCCAAACACCAGUGAAGGUCGUGAAUACCAGUGCUCCUAUGUGGCCUUGUCCUGGGAAUAGCUCUGGUGUUGGCACGGAUUUUAGAAUCAUAGAACCAGUUAUGGCUGGAAGAGACCCUUAAGGUUAUUGAGUCCAACUGUUAACCCUAUUCUGGCACUAAACCAUGUCCUUAAGAACCUCUUCUCCAUGCCUUUUAAACCCCUCCAGGGAUGGUGACUCCAGCACUGCCCUGGGCAGCCUGUUCCAAUGCCCGACAACCCUUUCCAGGUAGAAAUUUUCCGUAAUAUCCAAUCUAAACCUCCCCGGCGCAACUUGAGGCCAUUUCUUCUGGUCCUGACGCUUGUUUCUGGGGAGCAGAGCCCGACCCCCCCUGGCUCCAAGCUCCUUUCAGGCAGUUCAGAGAUCAGAAGGUCUCCCCUCAGCUCCUGUUCUCCAGCUGAACCCCCCAGGUCCCUCAGCCGCUCCAUCACACUUGUGCUCCAGCCCCUUCCCCAGCUCCGUUCCCUUCUCUAAACUCACUCCAGCACCUCAAGGGCUUCCUUGUCGCCCAAAACUGACCCCAGACUUCAAGGUUUGGCUUCCCCAGUGCCAAGCACAGGGGGAUGAUGAUUUCCCUAGUCCUGCUGGCUACACUAUUCUCAAUGCGCACAUUUUGAUGGGUUUUGAGCUCUUUCUGGGGAUUUACAUGGUGCUUAGGCCACUUUCUGCCUAAAUGGCUUGCAGCAGAAUCUAGGUGGGAAGCAGAUUCCCUCACUCCCAGUGGGAAACCAUCAGUCAUGCACAGCAGGUAAUAUCAGGCUCUAAUAUGGCUCAUGUGCUGAUGCCCAAGCAGCUCCUCGCUUGAGAGUUUUAUCUCUCUGGGCUCCAAGCACCUAAAUUACACCAAAAUUUAGGCAGAACAGAGACCAGACAUGCGGCUGAUGCUCCAGCCUCCCAUUCUCAUGGCUGGGGGCACUUGGGCACCUGUCUGCAGCCAGCAGGGCAACCACUGAACAGAAAGUCUGGGCUCCCCAAAGCUCCCGUCGUGUGUGUUUUGUGCCACUACAAGAAAAAAUUAUUGUGUUUGUUAUUGAUAGAAACCUAACUUAAUUUUCCUGUUAAUAAGUGUUUAACAGUGGUCUGUUGAUGUUAACGUGGUUCAGCUGAUUUCCCUCCUUGACCAAAUACAUGUCCUUCAUUGUGAUAAGCUGCUAGAGGAGUCAGUGUUGCUGAGAGGUGAUGAUCUCAUGAGAGCGCCUCGCAUAUGCAAAAGAAGGUGUUGAUUUUGAAAACCUGUUUAUAAUACAAACAAACUAACAGGUAAAUUAUUUCCAUUUUCAGUAAAUUGGUUGAAUACGUUCUCUGCUUUGGUUCUAUUUCCUGCUGUGAAGAAUAUCAUGUAAAUAUAUCUGGCAUAUAUUGUUUGUCGCUGUGCAGCACCAGUAUGUAGGAAGUGGAAAUCGAUUUCUGAUUGUUUGCUUUUUCAGCCUAACAAAGGAUGGUUCAAAGGUGAUUUGUUUUGCUCUGAAAGUAUUUCUGGCUUGGGUUUGGGGUUUUUUGCAGUGUCAUACAUGCUGGGAGGAGUUGUUUUCAGUUUAAAGAUCCUCCGCAGUCUGUUUGUCAGGCGUGGGAAUUCAGUUGGGAUUAGAAACAAUCACACUUGGAGCGGUCUGAUUGAGUUUCUUAGCGCUCUUAAUUACUGUCUUUCUUUCUACGUGAUGAUUUUAAUGUCACUUCUUUUCAGUAAUCGUGGAGUCUUUCGAAGUAAUCAGAUUUUGAGUUGGUGUUAUAGCAGGAAAAAGAGGAGAAAAAUAAGUUUUCAUGUGUGUAUAUUGUUAUUUUUAAAAGCUAUGCAAUGGCACUUCUUUCCAGGUCACCUUUCCUCCUUUAACAUGAUCAUUUGUGCAGCAAUGUAAAUUAAUCCAGCACUGAAGAUAAGCAGAAGGGCAAAAAAGCCCCAAACGCCUGGUUUUAAGAGCCCAGAGACAUAAGUGAUGCACAGGAAUAUAAACAAUAGGUGUGGGUUCCGAGCGCUUCAUGUCAGGGGCAUUUCUGUUCAGCGCUGGGAUUAGCGUUUCUAUUGAAAUUUAUGUAACAGCUACGUUGCCAGGGUGGUUUCUAAAAAUGAUGCUCUUCGCUCUUCAGAUUCCAAAAGCUUUAAGUCAGAAGAAAUAUUUGAAGCUGAAGAAAUCUUUUCUCUCUUCUUUUCCCUAAUGGUCAUUGGUUUUCUCCCAGAUCCCAGUGAGAUUUUUUUAAGCCGGCAGUGGGAAUGAAAAAAUGUAUUCAGAGCGUAAAGAAAACAACAGGGUAUUACGUUGUUCAUUAUGGUUGCCCUGGACAGUUUCUAAAGUAGAACAUCUGCCGCUUUUAUCCAGCAAAUCAUGGUGCCCUUGGGGAAGAAAAGAAAACACGUAUUUUCCAGGCUCUGUCACCCCCAAGAUCGCUGUCUGAGGAGGAACAGUCAGCUGCUAUGGUGAUGGGCACAGGGUGGGAACACGGACAGAAAUAGGCUGGAACCAGACUAUUCCUGUUUCCUUCCCAUUUCAGUAGCCUUUUCUGAACUUCUGAUUUCAAGGGGUUAACAGGUUGUUGCAGUGUUCUGUGCCUCAAAUUCUCACAAAUAAUGCAAAUCUAUGUAAUAAUACUCAGGCAAAAAGGAGAAUAAGGUACUCGAAUUGGUGAUGUUUUUACAGGACUCCAUGUAAUUCCCUGCAGUGCAGCGUGUGCCCGUUGUGCUUGAAUUUGGAUGCACAGAAACCUCCCUCCUCCCGUAUGAAUUGCAGUCAGUUUUUGGUAAUGCAUAAUUCAUACACCAAAGCCUUUGUCACACAAACAUCUUACUGUUUUUCCCCCGGCUUGAUAAGCUUUUGUAUUUUUAGGAUUUCUGUUUCCCAAUAAUCCCCCAAAUCAGCCUGAAGAGGUUUCAGAACAGAAUUCAGCGUAAAUCGGAGACAACUUGUACGUCAAGGAUGUCGCUCUACGCAGUAGGUGAUUCUCUGGCACCUGCUAUUUACAGACCCUUCCUCCACAAAGAAUUAUUUCCCCUGGUGUGGGUGGACUGGGACUCAAGAUAAUCCAGCAGGAGAUCGAGGACAAACCUGUCAAUAACGAAUUGUUCCAGAAAUACACGGAGAAAAUUGUACAUGAAGGCUGUUUUUUCUGAGGUGUAGCACAUCUGCAUCGCUCCUUGGCAUCAGCAGGUAUUGUAAAUACCUUGUAGCCGUCAGACCUUUCCAUGUUAGAAGCUUCUGAAAUUAAAAAGGUAAAUGUGUUAAAUAACAGAGAUAUUUCAUUAGUGGGAAAUGUUGAUCUUUAUUCAAGGACCAUUUGGUUGUUCCUCAGGAGUGUUGCUCAGAUUACCAGCUUAUUUGGUAGCGCUUUACAGUACAGGAAGGAAAGUGAGAUAUGUGAAAUACUGUCACCAGUGUAGGAAAUUUGGACAGUAACCAUUUGUCAAGACAUUAAUUUCCCCCCAGAAGACCCAAAUGCUUUUUCUUCUUACCUCUUUAUGUCAAGCCUGUGCAGACCUUCUGCCCAUAUUAAAUUCUAGCUGUGCAGAGUUUAUUUCUUGCGAUUUUAAGGUAACACAAUCAAAUUUUAAAUGGAAAAAUGCAGGCAGCCGGCCAACGGGGAAAGCUGGACCUUUGAUAAAAAACCAGUCAAACCAAAGUGAGAGCCUCGAAGUUUGGUGUAUUGAUUUUCUUGUGGAAGUUCAAGAACUGUGUUUCGUUGCAGGCAAAAACUCAUCUCAACUCCUCGUGACCAGCUGAGCAGGGGAGAUGGGAUUCGAUGCCGUCCAAGGCGUAAUUCCACAGUUCGUGUCUUUCGCUAGUACCAGCUUAAUAAGUUUCUGCCUAACCCCAGCCGUUCAUUUCCAGCUCAGCAGCAAUGCGGGGCCAUCUCUUUCCUGACCGCGUGGAAAACCAGAUGACCGAAAACACAUUUUGAAUUAGAAUCGUUUGGCUGAACUUGCUUUAUGAGAGUCAUAGCGGUACAGCUGAAGGUGACGUGAACUGCAGCAUCAAGAAGCAGCAGCGAGCGCUGGUGGGUGUCCCAAUGUUAAAUGAGCUUUCUAUCAACAAAAAUCCGCUCUGGGACCGUAUCCUGGAUGAAUGGGUUUCACUAACCCCGGUAAUACUUAGUGAACUGCUGCUUUUCAUUUGAUUUUAUUUUAUUGAGAAAGGUUAACAUCUUGGGCAGGUUUUAUUCCUGAGGACAUCAAACCAUCUCUGUGAGAAGUCAGUCAGCUUUGUGGACAGCUACGAAUGUCAAUAAAGUCUUGGCAAACGCAGUAGGUAUUUAUUCAGCCUUGCAAAUUAAAAACAUUUUUCCUGCUUGUUUAGCAAAGGGAACAAAAAAAGACAAAUUACAUAGCGGAUGAGCUCUUUUGAUAGUUGGAAUUCAUUAAGCUGGUGGUGAAAACGCCGGGGGAUUGAUGGUGCAGAAAAAGAAAAGAUGAAGCAGCUUUUCCCAAAUAGCUGUGGUUUAAGUUGAAAAUGACCAAAACAAAAGAAUCCCUUAAAGACAUCUGUAACUGACCUCACAGCCUCAGUUUCUAUCCUGGUAGGCAGUUCUUUCUCGCUGCAGUUAGUAUUAAUUGGUUUUUCAGCUGACAGGCAGUUUCUCAAUCUUCAUCAUUCCGUACCUCAUUAAUGUUUAUAAAUACGUAAAGGGUGAGUGUGAGUGUCAUAUAACGAGAAAAAACGGAGCUGCCAAGCGCUUGGGUAGGAAAAAUUUAGUGAAAUAUAACAAGGGAAGGUGUUGAGUAUUGUGUUCGGGUAGGAACAGCCCCAGGUUCCAGUUGGGGAAUGACCUAUUAGAGAGCAGUGUAGGGGAAAGGGACCUGGGGGUCCUGGGGACAGCAGGGUGACCAUGAGCCAGCACUGGGCCCUUGUGGCCAGGAAGGCCAAUGGUACCUGGGGUGGGUUAGAAGGGGGUGGUCAGUAGGUCAGAGAGGUUCUCCUGCCCCUCUGCUCUGCCCUGGGGAGACCACACCUGGAAUAUUGUGUCCAGCUGUGGCCCCUCAGUUCCAGCAGGACAGGGAACUGCUGGAGAGAGUCCAGCGCAGGGCAACAAAGAUGCUGAAGGGAGUGGAGCAUCUCCCGUGUGAGGAAAGGCUGAGGGAGCUGGGGCUCUGGAGCUAGAGGAGACUGAGAGGUGAUCUUAUUAAUGUUUAUAAAUAUAUAAAGGGUGAGUGUCAGGAGGAUGGAGCCAGGCUCUUCUUGGUGACAACCAAUGAUAGGACAAGGGGCAGUGGGUGCAAACUGGAACACAGGAGGUUCCACUUAAAUUUGAGAAGAAACUUCUUCCUGGUGAGGGUGGCAGAGCCUGGCCCAGGCUGCCCAGGGGGGUUGUGGAGUCUCCUUCUGUGCAGACAUUCAAACCCGCCUGGACACCUUCCUGUGUAACCUCAUCUGGGUGUUCCUGCUCCAUGGGGGGAUUGCACUGGAUGAGCUUUCCAGGUCUUUUCCAACCCCUGACAUUCUGUGAUUCUGCUAUAGGAUACCUGCAACAGCUCAUAAAUAAAACACAAGAUAAGUAGGAAGUUCACACAAUCGCUUCCCGUGCUACAGCCGUUCUGCGAACAGAAGAAUUGUCAGUGUGUCAUCUUCCCUUGGCUCCAUGUUUUAUUAAAAAAAAUAGGAAUUUAAAAAGUUACAGUAAGCUGAGCAGUUUUUCAGACAUAACGUACUCACAGGCUAUUGUCUGCAAAUUACAGACUGACUGGAUCUUCCAGCCUGUUGUAGAUGGAUUGUAAAGCUGUCAUAAGUAAAGCUCUAACAAAAUCCAUUUACACAGCUCCUGAUAUGGCAGAGCAUGGAAAGGAAGCAGUAAGACUUAUUUUUUUUGCAAAUUUCCUGCACAGUGUCAUUAAUCCAGCUGGAGGUCUUUCCAAGUUCUUCUCGGUAGCUGUUCUCUCUCAUUAUCCUUGAUGAAUGUGAUGAAGUGCCCACAGUCAUCGUUUACAGUCAAAGAUGGGAUCAUAGUUCACGUGUUACUCUGAGUGUUUGACUGCAGGAAUUCAUCACUGGAAGAGAGGGGGUUACCUGACAGGUGUCCCAACGCAGCUGAACCUCCUAUAAAUCACUAGAAUUAUUCAACAGCAAAACAAAGCCAUUGUAAACUCUAAUCUUGCAGUGGCUUAAUUGCAGAUAAAGCUUUAGUCAUAUAAGUAAUCCUGUUGAUGUCAAAUAAAAUCACGUGAAUUACAAGUAUUCGAUAUCAAGGCUUAAGUCACUGACAUGUCAUUCUUAUAAAUGUCAUUCUUGUAAUUUCCUCUGGAAGAUUAGCAAACAGUGUUGGGUUAUAGCUGCAGAAACAAAAACAUAAUCAGAAACUCUUCUGUCUAAAAUUUUUAUCCGAGUCUGUGAAUUCUGGGUUUGCUCUAUAUAUUCCCAAGUUCUUGCUUUUCUGGUAGGUAAAGAUGUUAUUUCCUCUGUUCCUCCUCUUCCUUUCCAGUUAAACGAGAAAAUUGCUCUCAGCUUUUCUUGUCAUUAAAUCUAGGAAGGACAGAAUAGUCCAAGAUCUGAAAAUGUUUUAAAGCUUACAGGACCUAAUUGGAAGGAGGCGCCUCGGAGAGGUACAGUAGCUCUCUAUCUGCAGUUCAUUUGUUUUUGCGAUUUAGACAUGACAGUCUACAGCCCUAACGAGAGUGUUUCUCAUUAUCUGUGUUCUAGAAACAUGCAGAGUCAUUGCAAGUUCUGAAAGAUGCUUUCUUUAAAAGUGCAAAUGAUAUUAAAUGAAGAAUUUGCUUUCCGGAUAGUCAGAUGGAGAUGCUGUGGUCCAAACCCGUUCUGGGGCUAAUGGUAAAUAAAGUCAGAACCCCACAACUUGAGCUCAGCUUUUAAUCCCAUGUAUAUCACAAAUGUAUAGGGAAAGAUGCUAUAGCACAGUUUAGCUGUGCCUUGUCCAGGGAAAACAAUGAUUGUGAAGUGUUGUUGCUUUUCUCAUUUCGCAGAUGGACUUUCUCAUGAAGAUUUUCUUGGAGAGGAGCGUGUUAGCUGUGCUGUUGACAGAUACCCUUGUGGGAACUGUCCACAGUUAUUUCAGAUUUCUCUGUCUUCAGCCAUCUACAAGUUCAGUUUCUAGUCUAAGCCGGUUGUUUUGCGUGGCAUUGUGGUAAAUGAAGAGAGGGAUGCAUCUCUAGAGGGGAUUAAACCUUAGAAACAGAUGUAAUUAAUCAGUUAAGUUUUUGACAUGGUUUGCUGCCCCCUGAAGAGGAGUUUUGAGACUAUUUGGCUGUCCUCAGUAAACUACAGGUGGGUCCAUGUUUGUUGAUGGUUCUAAGCCACUGCAGUGAGUUUUCACAGGACUUGCAGAGGCAGGUACAGUGCUCGCUGGGUGUAUUAAACUGCAGGAAGGAAAAAGCAAGAUGCUUCACUCUUCCUGAGUUACAUUGCAGCACGGCAAACUUGGAGGCUUUUUCAUGCCUUGAGGAAACUGUUCAGUCCUGCCCACAUUUUAAAACUGCUUUGUUUUAGCCGUGCUGAAGCAUCAGCAUUUCUUGAACCUGCAUGGGAGAUUCCCAGCCAGAAUUCUGACUCCAGCACAUCCCCAUCCUGCUGUUCCUGACUGCUCAGCUCCUCACACUGUUCUGGACAGAAGAUCUGUAUAAUAAAUCACAACGCUGAUGAGGCCUGGCAUAGAUAGAGCUCUUUCAGUAACCGCAGCAACUGCCCGUUUUCAGACGCCCAGCCCGCUCCGUUUGGUCGCUUUCCUUAAAAUAAUGUUGUUUUACGCCCAUGUGGGACAUGCUGUCUUAUUGCAUCUUGCUUGUUAUGCUUCGGGUAAUUUGUUCUUGCUGAAAGGCUGUGAUGUACCCAUUGAGAACUUCCCAGAACGUGGCUGAGCCCUGUAGUCUGUGCAAACACUCCAGCUUGCUCGACGUUAUUCUGCCGAUGUGAUUGGGAUACGUUUGUCCUGCCAGCUGAGAUGAGGAGUUGCAGACAGGUUAAAAAGAAAAAUACAUCUGUUUGAAGGGAAUAAAUUGUCUAGAGAACACUUCGGUAGCCAGACUUCCAGGAAAAAAAACCCGUGUCAGACUUCUUAGAAGUAGCGCUGGGACCAGGUGGUAAGAUCUGAAUAGUCUGUAAUUAAUUCAGUCCUUCAGUUUGGGCACAUUCCUUUUCUCUUAACAUUGCAAAUACCACCUCAGCGAGAGCUGGCAGACAGGUUUCCCAUGAUCCACCUGACUUUUUGAAUGAAUAUUCACCAUUUAGGCAUUAAUAUGUAGCUUCUGUCACAUAGUGGUAUUAAUACUUGUGCUACUGCUGUUAAAAAUAAGAUGUUAGCAUCUUGCAGGAGGCCUUUUUUUGCUGUCACUAGAGGGAGUUUGCGGCACCUUUCCUCGCUGAUUUGGGAGCAGACCUCAGCAGAUGCAAUGUGUGAAUAGAAGACAGGAUCAAAAGUAGGACGGUUCCUGGUUAAACCCUUGUACAUGUUGUCCAAGCUUUGAUUAACUAAAUUCUUCAGAGCGACGCUGCUGUAAGCAAUUCUGUUGGUAGCACUGUAAUGGAAAACAGAAAUGCACAUUUGGUGACUCAAAUCAAGGGUGAGAAUUUUUAAAAGUAUCAUCUAUUUAAUAGGGAAAAGAUAAAACCAACAUGGAUAGAUAUUCUUCUGCAGCAUUUCCAGUUUAUUGUUGCAGGAAUGUCAUCUCAGCGAGAAACAAGCUCCCUCAGGAAGCUGGUUUCAUAUGGUGGUUUAGAUUUAACUAUUCAUUGUCUAGCACCAUUUGAAAUCAGUGUUCUUGGAGGAAGAAUGGCUGCUGUCCUCAGUGAAACGGAUCCUCGGAAACCUCCAUGGAGAGGAAGAGAAGGUGCAGAUCUUCCUUUUGCGCAUCUGCUGUUGCAAUUAGUUCCAGCACCAAACAAAGUCCCUCGUUAGGUUUGGACUGCAGGGUCUGUGGGCCAGAUGACCCUUGGGAGAGCCAUAUAAUGUGUGAUUUCUGCUGUAAAUCUGCUGGGCAGUGGCAUGUUUGUAGUAUUUGUAGGUGGUGAACAAGAGCUCUGAGAACACAAGGGCUUAUAACACACAAACAAUGCAAAAUCAGUGUAAUACAGAAUUGCAACACUGUUUUCAAGACAUGGAAGUUAAUGCACCAACUAGCAAAUCUAUUAUGAACAACUAAUUUGUACAACAUGGUGAGGAAUAAGGAACUUAAUUUGCUCUGCUUCAUAUUCAAUAUCAAGCAUGUUUCAGCCUUACAUAGAUACAUUUUUGUUGGUUCUUUACUGCCCUUGUAAAUACCUCGUCCAUGUAUCAUCCAAGACAUGCAACGGAAUUGACAGCAGAUGAUUUUGAAUUUAAGCACUGGGAGCUGUAGGUGCUGUUUGCAUCCCCGCUGUGUGUUUGCUUAUUCAUGUUUGGCCGAUCCUAAUAUGCAGAUUUAUUUUGUGUGACAGCUUCCCAAUGUUCAGGUUGUAGGUUGAUAGUUUGGUCAUUCAUGGAAGUAGUUGGUCAUUCAUGGAAAUGACCAACACCAGCGUCUCUGAGAUUGGACCAUGCGUGGUAGGUCACGUUGGCCAAGGCUACUGAAAUGUGGAAAGCUUGAAGCGCUUUAAGGUUGGCUUUACCAUAUUAAAAGAUGUGUGUAGCUGUUGAUUGAUUCUGAUAGUUUUCACCUUCUAAAUCAUUGUCUUCUCACAGGCGUUUUAAUAACAUAACAUUUUGUUCGUGAAUGAUGCCACAGAGGUCACUAAUCAACACUUACGAAGUAUUUGGGGAUCUUCCAGUGUAAAAUACCGUCCAGCUCCUAACUCUUCGUCCUUGCAGAUCUCAGUAACCCCUUUAGAGGAUGACUGAUUUCUUUUGGUGUUCAGAGUCAAUAAUAUUUUCUAGCACCAUUUGAAAUCGGUUAUAGUGAUUGGGGAAUUGCUCCUUGCGAAUUUUACACAAGAGGCUGCAAAGAGAACCUUUUGUGGUAUUAUCUAGGACUGAAAAAUAAAGUGUGUUAUUUUAGUGAAUGGAAUUGCUGAACCCAGAGAUUGUACACGCUUAAACUCUAGUGUUUCAUAUAGCUGGAGAUUUUUCCUAGAAGAAUAAUAGGAUCUCUAGUAGAGCAUGUAAAAUAUAUAACGUGAGGUCUUGAUUUAGGUCAUCUGUGUAAAGAAGAUACUCAGAGUGGCUUGGAAACCCAUACAGUACUGAGAGUAGAGAUAAAGGGAAGUGGUUUUCUCAAUGAAUCAGUAUGGACUUCAGAUAAAAGAAAUAAAAAUACCUUGUUGGCUUAA
Molecule: long non-coding RNA, 45695 nt
Organism: Columba livia (rock pigeon)
Lineage: Eukaryota; Metazoa; Chordata; Aves; Columbiformes; Columbidae
Exons: 6
Source: RefSeq, a predicted model, not a curated record